This 45293-nucleotide long non-coding RNA is filed under the name Medicago truncatula (barrel medic). RNAcentral describes it as "long non-coding RNA (MTRU_LNC000683)". Lineage: Eukaryota; Viridiplantae; Streptophyta; Magnoliopsida; Fabales; Fabaceae. The record is from RNAcentral.
CAUUGAUUUCUGUGCACCCUGAAAGGUCUAGCUUUGUAACAGACCACAGUCCAUGAUCAUCUCUUAACUUAUUCCCAACAAUUUUAAGCUUGUUACACUCAGAUAGGCCAAGCCAAGUAAGUUUGCUAUUGCGCCAAAUCGAUGAAGACAAUUCACGUAUAGCAGUGCCGCCUAAGGUCAACUCUGUCAUUUCCUCCGAUGUCACCAAAAAUUCUGUGAGAGUUGAACAACCAUCGAGUAAGAGUUCACGAAGAGAUUUUGAAUGAAUGUUGGUUUUAAGGCUUUCAAUCUUUUUGCAACCUCGUAAAUCUAGAUAUCUAAGAUCAGGGAGACAGAAGAUGGAAGGAUGGAGCUGACACAGGCUUUCACAUUGAAAAACACUCCAUGAAGAUUUGUAUCCUUAGAUAAGUCUGGGAUCUCAAUCAGAUCUUUGGAGGAUUCAAGCCGGAGUAUGUUUAGAUUCACAAGAUUCUGUAACAAUAAAUAAACAUGACAUUGCUUAGAAACCAUUAAAUCCAUAAUUAAGCAUAAAUAGAGACUUCUUAAGAAUGUGCAUCAGACUUCCUCUCAUACCUAAAUAAAUUAACACGUACGUAUAUCCAAACACAUUUGUACCUGAACUCCAUCCCAGAGCUUUUUAAGCUUGCUAUGACCCAUGUGAAGCUCUAUGAGCAUUUCAGCACAAAAGGUUGGUGGCAAAGACUCAAGGCAGUAUCCCUCCCACAUAAGGAACCUCAAUUUAUUAGAAAGCCACUCAAGACCGUCGGGAAAGUGCACAUUGCAUGUUCUCCCAUUAGAUAUAUUAUAGAUUUUAAGAUAUCUUAAGUUUGUCAUCCUUCUAAAGGAAUCAGACUUUAAGUAAAGAUUCCCAACUUCUGUACUAUCAAAUGUUAUACCUUCCACAACUCCCGUUCCCUACCAAACAAAAAUCAGAUUAUUAAUUAGGAAAGGAUGUAAUAAAUGUUUGCUUGUUAUAUUUCAUAACCACAAACAUGUGUUUUCAUAUGGAAGUAAUUGCAUUGUCUACUUACCUUGUUUUUUUUCAAUACAUCAGAUAUUUCUUCAGCAUUCCACAAUCGACUUCGUUUUCCAGGGUUCUUAGAUUCUUGAUUAACAAUCUCUCGUCCCAUUUCUUGUAACAAAUCAUGCAUUUCUAUACCAUCAACGUCCGACUUGACAUAAACAUGCCAUAUUUUUUUUAGUUGUAUGAGAGAUUUAUCUAGAAGGACUUCUAUCCCACUUACUGCAAAGAACUCACAAGCUUCCAAAAGUUUUCUUACGAAAGAUUUACUCUCUUCUCUCAGCAAGCAUGCGUUGUCUAGAAAUAUGGCCUUUUGACAACAAUCUAAGUCAUCAUAACUCAAUUUUAAUACAUUGUAAAUUUUCGUAUUGGGAAUCUUUUGGAGCUUUUUCAAUUCAUUUUCCCAUUCAUCUUUGCCUCUUGAACUCAGAUUAGCACCUAAAACUUUUAAAGCCAGAGGAUUGCCUUUGCAAUAGGCAAUUACACUCUCUGAUAGAUCUUCAUAUCCAAUUUUAGGAUGUUUUUCCUUGAAGACAGUCAAACUGAAUAGCUGAAAAGAAUCAUGAUUAUUCAAUUCCUUAACCUCGUAUAUUUCACAUUUACUGAACUGACUAAUUAUGUGCUUAUCUCUAGUUGUAAUAAUGACCCUACUACCGGGUCCCAGCCCAUCAAUUUUUAGGAUAAAAUCUUCUAUUCUCUCUAAGGUUUCCACGCCAUCCAAUACAAUUAUAACUUUUUUAAGCGCAAUCCUUCUUUCGGAGAAAGGGACUUCUAUGUAGGGUGCAUCAGGAUGAAGAUUUUCUUCCUAUAACAAUGAAGAUAAAAGUUUAUUGUAUACAACAUUGAGUCCAUACUUGUUUGAUUCAUCCAUUACAUUGAGGAAGCAACGACCUUCGAAUUGGGAAUAAAGUUUAGCAUAUAAAGUCUUAGCAAGGGUUGUCUUUCCUAUGCCACCCAUGCCCCAUAUUCCAAGGACUUUAACAUCAUUUGACCCAAUUUUCAGCAUUGAUUCAAUUUGUUUAUAAUUUUUCUCAAUUCCAACAAGACCCUUAAUUUCAUAUGGGUAUCUAAGAUUUAGUUUCCUUAAAACAUCUUCAACAAUGUCCUUAAUGAAGUCCACUUCAAUCCUUGCACAUGAAGGAAGGAAAGGUCUUACAAGUCUAACAAAUACAAUAGAAGAAAAAUACAUCUAUAUGAUUAGUAUACAAAUUUGUAGUCAACAUGGUGGCAUUAACAUCUAUUUUUUCUACGAAGUGAAAUCCUAAAGAAAUUCCAAAAAAUCAAAAAUCAAAAAAAGGUUUUUAUGCUACCCAAACGAUAAGAUGAUGUAUUCUUUGUAUUUAGAUUUAAGAGUAUCAAUUGAGUGAUAAGUGUAUGCAGGGUACAAGAAUAUGUUGACUUUGAAGACUCCUACCCUCUUCCCAAUAGUAAAUAACUGUGCUAUAUUAGAAUACAAAACAUGCAAAUGAUAGGAAAUAGUUUAUUGAUUUUACUUUGAAUUUUGGAAACAUACAAGUGAUGAACAUAUCCAAAGCUGGAUAGUUUGUUUUAUUUACCUAUAAUUUUGAGAGUCCCAUCCAACUAAAUUAGCUGCCUCAGUGAGAGAGGCUUUCCAUUUCUCCAACUUGGCAUUAUUGUGCUUCAAAUCUUGCUUAUGUUUUGCAAAGGCUUGCUUGUAACUCCCGGUUUGCUUCCUCACAUGUGAUGGAUCAAUGUUGUAAAAAAUAGGUAUCACGAUCUGUUCCAUAUAUUGCUUGCAUUCUAGAAUCUUUUUGAGAUCAUUCAAACACCAUUUUGAGGAAGCGUAGUUUUCUGAGAAGAUGACAAUAGACACAUGUGACUCCUCAAUGGUUUUGAUGAGUGUUGGUGAGAUCUCAUCUCCUUUUUGAAGGUCAUUGUUGUCUAUGAAGGUUUCAACUUUCUUUCGACUCAAAGCAUCAUAAAGAUGGCUUGUGAAGUUUCUGCGAGUAUCCUCACCUCGAAAGCUAAGAAAAACGUCAUAUUUUUUCGGAGGCCCCACAUAAGAAGAAGAUAUAGAGGAAAAAGCACUGCUCAUUUUCUGCGCGGCGGUUAUGAUUUCCAAAUGCCUGCACUAAGCCACUAAUCACAAUGCUACAAUAAAAAAAAGUAUUGGGCUUCAUAAAUUUGAUUAUCAUUUGGAAUCAUUUUUGGCAGCAUAACAAAAAGAAUGGCAACAUUCAAAGCGAGCCUAACAAAAAUAAGGCAAAUUCUAUAUUACACCCAAUAUAUUUGAGUGUAUCGGUACAUCCACUCUUUAAAUUAAUAGUUAAAUGAGUUUUUUUUUGAAGAAAAAUAUUAUUUUUUAUCAUUUAUUAUUAUAAUAACUAAAUCUUAUUCAUAAAAAAUAUCAACAAAAUAAAAUUAUUAUUUUUUGAAUUUUUAUUGCUCAUAAUUUAUAACAUUUAUUAUUUUUUACGAUAAUAUGUAAAAAAAAAUACUAUGAUUGUCAUAAACAAUGAAAUGAUUUUUUUUUUUUUUAUGAACUGAUGUUAUAUAAAAUAUAACUAUUGACAAAGAGCUAUUUAUUACAUAAAAAAUUAUCGUUAAUUUAUAAAAUUAUGAAGAAGGAGUACCGGUACACCUCACUUUGUGAGUGUACCGUAGAAGUUUCCCAACAAAAUAAUUACAAUAAUAUAGAUGAAUGUCUUGAGACAAUUUAUUUUUGGCGAUUACUUUCUCCACCCUAUAAGGUUCUCACACGUCCUUUUUUUUUUCUUUCCAAAUUGCCCCUUAGAUUUUAGAAAAUGAAAACCAAUUCCAAAUAUAAAUUCCGAAACAUUUCGCUUUAUAAAAGCAAGAUCAGCAACUUCCACCAUUUUACAGUUUUAGUUUUACAAUUUCACUUUCUCUCUCUCUCUCUCACCGAUCCCAUAAUCCUAAAAUAUUGGUCCAAUCUUUGAGUUUUUUUUGCUCAAAAUCAUCACAUUUGAAGCUUUAUCAAACCCCAUAGUGAAGGUUAGGUCUCAUUCCAUCUGCAUACAAGCCUUUGAGUUCGAAUAUUUUUUUUGUGGCAACUGAAUAUGUUUGGAUUAUAAAAUCCAAACUGGAUUGUUGAAGUUCAGAUUUUAUAAUCUGAAGUGUACCUGUAGGCAGAUUUUUGGACAAUUUUGUGGAUUUAUAUUGAUUGCGUUUUACCUGGUUAUGCAUGUUACAAGCAUGGAUCGUGUUGGGCGCACCGUGGGUGAUGGAGAAGCAAUGCAUGUUUAUGUUUGGAGAGAGCGUUUGGAGAGGUUGCAAGCGGAGGGGAGAGUGCCCAGGCGUGGCAAGGGCAGGGAAAGGGCACGCCGUGGUGAUGCUGAUGGCGAGGGAACAUCUCAGGGGAACUAUAUUGAGCUUGAGCCACAGAGGGAGAUAAGAGAAGGUGGAGGGUGAUGUUGAGCAACAGGAGGAGGGUGAUGAAGAGCAGCAUGAGCGUGUGCAGCCAAAGCCAAAGGAGCUUGAUCACUAUCUUGGUGGCCCACACGACUUGACUGUGCUGACCAAGUACCAUGUUCACGUGGUCAGGAUGGCAGUUGAUGAAGUGGUAAGACACUGCACCUUUAAUUUAAUGAAAAUUGAAUUUUUAUGUUUAAUUAAUAAUAAUUGUAAACUUUUUGUUAAUUUUUGUCAUGUAUUAUUUCGAUUACUGUGAAACUGAUGUUAAUUUUUUGUUUUAAAUUUUAGCAGUGCGGUGACAAUUUAAAAUGUGUAAACAACAGGAAGAAGAUAGAAGCGAUACAUAAACCAAAGGUUUAAAUGUAUUUCAUCCUUGCAAUUAAGGGUCGUUUAAAAAUUGGUCCCUGUAUUCGCUAAUCCUUGCAAACUAGCCUUGCAAUAAUUAAUCAUUUAAAAUUUCGUCCUUUGACCAACUUAAUCACUGCCACGUCACUAAUUUGAUGACGUGGCAAUCACUAUCACACAUGAAAUUCCAAUUUUUCUCUUAAGAAGAGGACAAAAUAUUGAAGAAAGAAUUAGAAACUCAGGGGUAAAAUUGGAAUUUCAUGUGUGACAGUGAUUGGCACGUCAUCAAAUUAGUGAUGUGGCAGUGAUUAAGUGGGGAGAGGGACGAAAUUUUAAAUGAUUAAACAAUGCAAGGGUAAAUUGCAAGGAUUAGCGAUUACAGAGACCAAUUUUUAAACGACCCAUAAUUGCAAGGAUGAAAUACAUAUUUAAGCCUAAACCAAACAAGACUCUGAUGGCAAGACUGUGUGGUUUAAGCAUGGGCUGAAAGUCACUGGUCUUCGGUGGCUGCAGGAUAUCAGCUACAGCCAGAUUGAACACGGGCUUUGUUCUGCAAUUGUGGAGAGAUGGCACGAGGAGACAUCGAACUUUCAUCUUCCGUUUGGGGAUAUGAUAGUGGCACUGGAUGAUGUGUCAUGUUUGCUGCAUCUCGCCAUCGAGGGUAUGCUCUUGUCCUAUGAAAGUAUGUCAAGGGGUGAUGUUGUUGAGUUGUUGAUGGAAUUGUUGAGGGUUGAUGCGGGCGAGACAUGGACCGAGGUGGAAAAGAAAAAAGGUGGACAUGCACGGUUUAACUUCUUGAAGGAUAUAUACUUUCAAGGAGCAUGUUCGGGAGGCACAUGAGGUCUACCAUGCUGGUCAGUUUGUUGAGAUGCAGCAGCGGGAGUAUUUUCCAACAGAAGGUAUGGCCUAAACUAAUUUUAUCAAUUUAUUUAUUUCAAAUUCUAUGAUCAAUUUGAAAAUGACCUAUGUAAUUAGAGAAACUAGCAGUUAAAUUAAAAUUGAGGGAAAAAAGAUCAUACCAAAGUCAGAUCAAUCCAGCUUCAUGCAAUAGAGGAGAAAAAGACAGUAUGGCUUAGCUUCUGGUGGAAUCAAAUUUGGAUGAAAAUUAAUUAAGGAUAAACACACACAAACACUUCAUAAUGCCUUGGUCCUGAUGUAUAUACAUGUAAUGGGUCAAAUUUAAAAUAUAAAAUAACAAGUGUGGCUUAGCUUGCUUCCUUUUUGAUGGAGACUACUAGAUAAACUAUGGAAUUGGAUUUCAGAUUAAAAUAUAUGCAAAAUUAAGCUUGUUGUCCUUCAAUUUUGAGUCAUUUUUCAGAUUAUACCUAUUCACGUAUGUAAACACAAGUUAAUUACAAUAGGUGAGUUGCUGAGUGAAAUGUCUUAGGUGCAAUUCCAAGAACAAUUAGAUUAUACCUAUUAAGCUUGUUGUCCUUUAAUUUUGACUAUUUUUCAGAUUAUACCUUUUAGUUUUUCUUUCUUCCUUGAAUAGUUUCUUCAAAUAUUUAUAAUUACCAACAGAAGGUAGAGCCUUGGACUUAUACAAUAUAUAAGUGGCUUAGAUGUAUUCUUGUCUUUCGUUGGUCUAUGAAAUCGUAAAAACAAACACUUUCGUAUAUUUAAUUAAAUUUAAAGGUAAAGUAAAACAUUAAAUUAAUUUUAAAAUCCCUCCCCUCGUGAACCACAUCAAUUAAUGUUUUUAUUUUUUGUGGAAUUUCUAAAUGUUUUAAUUGAUUAGUUUUUUUUUUAAAGAAUGUUUUGAUUGAUUAGUUGUGUAUGUACAAAGCUGUUUUAGACCGUCGACUCGUUAAUCUUAAACCCUUAACAAAAACUGAUUUAGACCGUCGACUCGCUAAUCAAACCAAGUAAUUAAAUUAAAAAAUUACUUUCUGUUGGAGAAAAGAUACUAUUUGGAAUAUGCAUUGGAAAUAAUGAGUAGCAGAGAGAUUACAAACACUAUAUUAUUUUGUGGGAAAACCAAGAUCUUUGAUCUGUAUCAUUUAAAAAGGAAAGACCAUUAACAGAACCAUUAUUAUUCUUCUUAUCUUUAUUUCUUAUGACUCAAAAUCAUGAAACUCAAGUAGCUACUGCAAUAGGGAGAAAAAGAGGAAGAAGACCGACAAUUCAUUUAAUGACGAAGCAGAAGAUGUUAGAAGAAAGCAGCAUUGCUAUCUUCAAUGAUCAAGAACAUUGACACUGUGAUGUGAUCCUAAAAUUCUCUCUCUUGACAAGAAUAAUAAAGUCAUUGUAGAAUAAAAGAACCAAAUUAAUUUUGGGUUCAAAGUUUUAUUUUCGUAGGUCAUUAUAUGUCUGUCUUGUUUUGGCUAUAUCUGGAGCUCUGGAUAUCCGUUUGAGGUGAUCUUUAACUCGUUGGAAAGCUUACGAAAUUCUCUACAUUUCAUCUGUUUGAUUCAAGAGCAAAUUCGGAAUAUUUAAUGGUGCAGAAUGAGCUGUAGGUAGAAGACGUGGUUAAAGUAUGUUAGCUGAAGAAUUAAAGGUGGUGUUUGUGGAAUUGUAACGUCUAGCCAUAAUAAGCCUUCACAAAUCAAUGUGCAAAUGAAUAUGUAACCUUCUCAUGCAUUGAUCAACCACCAACUUUAAAGAUCCAAUUAAAUUGUAACCUCUUUUGUAAUAACUAGCCACCUAGGAAUUAUAACACUAAUUAUGCUAUGAUUGUAAGUUUUUCAGCUUCCAAGCCUAUUUCCUAUAAAAAGGGGGCGAAAAUAAUGAAGGGGACAAGUUGAAUUUAAAAAAAAUAAAAAAUAAAUAGAGAAUUUUAGGAUCACAUCACACUGCUAAGGAAAAUGAAUGGGGAUCUUUACACAAAAUUAUGAAACGCUGCAAACCUGGUUAUAGCUGACUACUUAUACCAACAAUAAAAACAGGAUCAGAUUGAUUAAUACCAGCAAUCACAGCACAGAACUGCUGAAUAAAAUUAGGAAUACUUCUGCAAAGGUAUAAAUUAUAAAGUUUAAAUAUGCCUUUAGUCCUUGCACUUUUAUCAGAUUUUGGCAUUGGUCCCUACACUUUUUUUUGUUUGGAAUUGGUCCCUGCACUUUGUAAAAAUAUUGGUAUUGGUCCCUGCACUUUGUAAAAAUAUUGAUAUUGGUGCCACGUGGCGUGAAAUGAUUGGGCCACGUGGCACUCCGUUGAUUUUGUGUUUUUUUUUUUAACAGAAAGUUAACAGGGGGUCAAUACCAAUAUUUUUACUAAGUGCAGGGACCAAUGCCAAAAUCUGAUGAAAGUGUAGGGACCAAUGACACAUUUAAACCAAAUUAUAAUUAGCACAACGUAUCAUUGCACUUAGGCAUUUAAAUGAUGAAUUUAAUACCAGUCUACUGCAUCACCGAAUCUUUCUGAAUGAAUGCGAUGAUGUUGUGCUUAUUGUAUUUGAGAAACAGGAGAAAGAGAUUACAAUAUUUCCGACUUGUAUUAUUCUUUUGACCCUCUUAGCAAGUGCCUCAAAAAAAGACCUGCCCAAUAUGUUGUUUCAGCAUAAAGUUAUUGCAAUACACCGAGCAUUAUUCACUUGAAGGAUUAAAAUUUUCUAUUAAAUAAAAAAUAUUGAAUCUAUAAUUAUAAAGUCGGUUAAAACUUCAUACCGAUUGAACAAGAAGGUUGUUCCUCUUUGCAUGAAUAGGAAGGUUGUUCCUGGUUAUCUUCAUUUUCAUUGUUAGAGCUUCUGACUUCACCUCCAAUUGCUAUAGACACAUCAGAGUCUUGAGCAAUGGAUUUUAAUUUACCAAUUUCCUUACUAAUGAUACUGCUACCACCACCUUCCAACUCACGUUCUAAGGCAUAUACAGGUAUGACCCCACACCCUUUUAUCCCCUCUGUUGACCACCACAAUUCUUCAUUGGGACCUUGAAGUAUGAAUUUAAAUGAUAAGUUACAAUCAUAACUUCCACUUUCUUGUAUGUUGUAACCAUGCCAACGCAUCAAUACAUGAUCUGAAAUUAAUGUCCCGAGAUAAUUGAAUCUAAUGCGACGUCUGUCGACUUCUUUUCCGCAUUCAAAGAUAAUACAAUGAAGGACAUGGUGGUUAACAGUGAAGCCCUCAGAAAAAAGGAUGCAAAAUAUGAAACCACACAAGUCAGAUUUAGCAAUAGGAAGAAUAGUUAUUGAAGCCUUGAUUGUCUGAAAAUCAAAAUUUAAUGGAAUUUGUGCUCCUGGCAUGAAAGAGAAAGGACGGAUAACACCUUCAUGUUCAAUAGAAGGGUCUUCACAGAACUUUUGUGCCUUGUUCUUAAUCAAUGAAAAUUGUGUGAAGUAUGUGUCCAGAUAUGUGCAAUUAACGGCUGUUAAAUAAAACAGGGAUGGCGGAAUCUCUGUUAGAGACACAAGUUUCCUGCAAUUGUCUAAUUCAAGCCAUUCUAGCAUUGAAUGGUUUUGUAUGUUCUUAGGGAGACAUUCUAAGUUGCAACACUCAUUCAAUUUUAGCCGUUUUAAAGAUUGUAUGCCAUCAAGGAUGGACGACAGACUUAUUGCAUUGAUUUCUGUGCACCCAGAAAGGUCUAGCUCUGUAACAGACCCCAGUCCAUGAUCAUCUGUUAACUUAUUCCCAACAAUAGUAAGCUUGUUACAUCCAGCUAGGUCAAGAACAGUAAGUUUGGUAUUAUGCCAAAUCGAUGAAGUCAAUUCAUGUAUAGAAGUGUCACGUAAGGAUAAUUUUGUCAUUUCCUCCGAUGUCACUGAAAAUUCUGUGAGAGAUGAACAACCAUUGAGUAAGAGUUGACGAAGAGAUUUUGAAUGAAUGUUUGUUUUAAGGCUUUCAAUACUUAUGCAACCUCUUAAGUCUAGAUAUUGAAGUUGAGGGAGAGAAAAGAUGGAUGGAUGGAGUUGACGCAAGCUUUCACAUUCCGAGAGAAGUACAACAACAAGAUUUGUAGCCCUAGAUAAGUCUGGGAUCUCAAUCAGAUCUUUGGAGGAUCGAAGCCAAAGUGUUCUUAGAUUCACAAGAUUCUGUAACAAGAAAUAAACAUCCAUGAGUGUUGAUUAAAAGAGAAACAAAACCUAGUUAAACAUAAAGAGAAACAUCCUAGCUCUGCUGCAAUUUAGUGAAAAACAUUUGUACCUGAACUCCAUCCCAGAGCUUUUUAAGCUUGCUAUGACUCAUGCAAAGAUAUACAAGCAUUUCAGCACAAAAGGUUGAUGGCAAAGACUCAAGACAGUAUCUUACCCAUAGAAGAUACCUCAAUUUAUCAGAAAUCCACUCAAGACCGUCAGGAAAGUACACAUUGCCUGUGCUCCCAUCAGAAUCAUUACAGAUAUGAAGAUAUCUUAAAUUUGUCAUCCUUCUAAAGGAAUCAGACUUCAAGUAAAUAUCCCCAACAUUUGUACUAUGGAACCUUAUACCUUCCACAACUUCAGUUCCCUGACAAAUAAAAAUUAGAUUAAUAAUUAGGAAAGGCUGUCAUGUGUACUUUCCUCGUUAUAUUUUAUAAUCACAUACAUGUUUUUUCGUAUAGAAAUGAUUGCAUUCUCUAGUUACCUUGUUUUCUUUUAAUAUAUCAGAUAUUUCUUCAGCUCUCCAUAACCGACUUCGUUUUCCAGGAUCUUUAGACUCUUGAUUAACAAUCUCCCGUCCCAUUUCUUGUAACAAAUCAUGCAUAUCUAAACCAUCAGUUUCCAAUUUGGCCAACGAGUGCCAAUUUGAUUUUAUUUGUAUGAAAGCUUUAUCUAGAAGGACUUCUAUCCCACUUUCUGCAAAGAACUCACAAGCUUCCAAGAAAUGUAUCACAAACAUUUUAUUCUCUCCUCUCAACAAGCAUGCGAUAUCUAGAAAUAUGUCCUUUUGAAAAAUAUCUAAGUUAUCAUAACUCAAUUUUAACAUAUUGUUAAUUUCCCCAUUUGGAAUCCUUUCGAGCUUUUUCAAUUCAUCUUCCCAUACUUUUUUGCCUCUUGAACGGAGAUUUUUACCUAAAACUUUUAAAGCCAAAGGGUUGCCUCUGCAAUAGGCAAUUACACUUUCCGAUAGAUCUUCAUAUCCAAUUUUAGGCUGUUUUUCUCCGAAGGCAAACAAACUGAAUAGUUGAAGAGAAUCAUGUUUGUUCAAUUCAUUAAACUCAUAUAUUUCACAAUUACUCAACUGACUUAGUAUGUGCUUAUCUCUAGUUGUAAUAAUGACCCUACUACCCAAUCCCAACCCAUAAAUUAUUAGGAUAAGAUCAUCUAAUUAAUCUAAGGUAUCCAAACCAUCCAACACAAUAAAAACUUUUUUAAGUGCAAUCCUUCUCACGGAGAAAGAGGAUUCUAUGUAGGAUGCAUCGGGAUGAAUUUUUUCUUCCUCUAACAAUGAAGACAAAAGUUUAUUGUGUAGACCAUUGACUCCAUACUUGUUUGAUUCAUCCAUUACAUAGUGGAAGCAAAGAACUUCAAAUUGGGAAUAAAGUUUACCAAAUAAAGUCCUAGCAAUGGUGGUCUUUCCUAUGCCACCCAUGCCCCAUAUUCCAAUGAUUAUAACAUCAUUUGACCCAAUUUCCAUCAUUGAUUCAAUUUGUUCGUAAUUUUUCUCAAUUCCAACAAGCCCAUUAAUAUCAUAUGGGUAUCUAGGAUUCAGUUUCCGCAAAACAUCUUCAACAAUGGCUUUAAUGAAGUCUGAGUCACUCCUAACAUAUGAAAGAGGGGAAGAAGGUUUAACAUGUCUACUAAAUACAAUAAAUAAACAUCUAUAUGAUUAGAAAUAUAUACAAAAUUUAUAGUCAACAUGAUGGUAGUGGCGUAGUAGAGCAAAAAAAGAAGCAAAAAUGAGAUUCGAGGAAAUGAAAUACCAAACACACAGUGCAAUUAAAGUCUAUUUUUUCUAGGAAGUGAAAUCCUAAAGAAAAUUAUAAAAAAAUAAAAGUUUUAUGAUACUCGAAGCAUGUGUUGCUACUAUUAAGAUUUUAGUGAUACAAAUAGAAUCAGCCAAAUCGAAGUAAAAAAAAUUGUGAGAUAGUGUAUGAUGACUUUGAUAGUUUUGAGAAGGUCAUCAACUAUGGCCAGGCACAUCAAUGUCAUUGUUCACUUCUCGAAAUAAUUUGGCCUGGUUUACUUUCUAAAAUUAUAUUUCGUCUUCAAUUUCUAAAAUUUAUGUUCAUUUCCAACUACAAAUAUGGAGAUGAAAGACUUAUGAAGUAAACAAUUGUGCUAUAUUAGAAACAAAACAUUCAAAUGAUAGGAAAUAGUUUAUUGAUUUUACUUACCUAUAAUUUCGAGAGUCCCAACCAACUAAAUUAGCUGCAUCAGUGAGAGCAGCUUUCCAUUUCUCCAACUUAUCGUUAUUGUGCUUCAAAUUUCGCUUAUGUUUUGCAAAGGCUUGCUUGUAACUCCCGGUCUGCUUCCUCACAUGUGAUGGAUCUAUGUUGUAAAAAACUGGUAUCACAAUCUGUUCCAUAUAUUUCUUGCAUUCAAGAAUCUUUUUGAGCUCAUUCAAGCACCAUUUUGAGGAAGCAUAGUUUUCUGAGAAGAUGACAAUAGAUGCAUGUGACUCCUCAAUGGCUUUGAUGAGUGCUGCCGAGAUCUCAUCUCCUUUUUGAAGCUCAUUGUUGUCUAUAAAGGUUUCAACUUUCUUUCGGCUCAGAGCGUCGUAAAGAUGGCUAGUGAAGUUUCUGCGAGUAUCCUCACCUCGAAAGCUAAGAAAAACCUCAUAUUUUUUCUUAGGGACCACAUCAGAAGAAGAUACAGAGGAAAAAGCACUGCUCAUUUUCUCCUCGUGACGGUUAUGAAUUCCCAGGGCCUGUACUAAGCCACUAAUCACAAUGCUACAAUAAAAAAAAAAAGUAAUGUUUAUUGUGUUCUUGAUACUUUUGACCACACUCAUUCUCGUUGUAAUUAGAGAAACUAGUUGUUAAAUUAAAAUUAAGAAGAAAAAAGAUCAUACCAAAGUCAGAAUCAAGCUUCAUGCAAGAAGACUUUAAAGUCAUAAAUCCCAACAGUAGUAUGGCUUAGCUUCUGCUGGAAUCAAUUUUAGAUGAAAAUUAAUUAAGGAUAAACACACACAAACACUUCAUAUAGAUGUAAUGAUUCAAAAUUAAAAUAUAAAAUAGUAAGUGUGGUUUCGUGGUUAUCCUUCAAGGAAGUUUCGUGGUUUUAUUUUCAGUUUUUCUUUCUUCCUUUGAAUAGUUUCUUUAAAUAUUCAAAUGUGUACGUCGUGGUGUUCUUCAGAAGGUAUGGCCAUCACAUUAUUCUUUAUAACAACCAUAUAAAAAAAAAAAUGACAUUAUGAAUUUGUCAUCAUGUGUGGUCAGAUCAGAUGCAUAAUGUGUAAGACGCCGGCUGAAUAAAAUAUGGCAACAAGAGAAUAUUUAGACAAACAAUGAUGCACAUAAUAUAGUGUGAAUCUAAUUUCCUAUAUUAAACUAAAUAGUUGUUACAUAAGGUUCCAUUUCUUUCUAUUUGUUUUUUUACCAAUCAAAUUAAGUAACCUUUAAACAAAUAUCAUAUAUAGUUGAACCGUUGAAUCUUGAACCUUAUUCACAUGUUCAAUGGCUGGUCCAAUCAUUUGUUUAAUGGUUGGUCCAAUUUAGAAAAUAUUAAUGAAGACGGCCUGCUUUGAUAAAUUAUUUAUUUAAAAACUUAUUUAUAUCCUUUUUUACUAACAAGGAAUUGAGACGUAACCAAAAAAAAAACAAGGAAUUGAGAUGGCCCUCUUCCGAUCUCAUCCCAACCCCACCAAUGGCCAACUUUAAAGCUAUGUUUGGAUUGGUAGAGAGUGGUGGAAUGGAAUUGAAUGAAGUGGGAUAGAUUCACAUUCUAUUGUUUGGUUUUGUAAAAAAAGGAAUAGAAUGGAAUGUAGUGUAAUGGAACUCAUUGCAUCCAAUACCACCUAUUUAACCAAUUUUCCAGUUCCUCCCAAUUUGGGGUGUAUGCAAUGAAAAAACAACAAUCUUCCUAGUAAAUACUAUAAAACAACAAUCAUCACCAAUGGUGGAAAUUAAUCAACAAAAAUUGAAAAAGACUUCCAUAAAAAUGAGUGCCUCAAAAGUAACCUUCAAAAGAUUCAAUUGAUAAGCAAUAAUCCAGCUUAACAUUGAGCUUCUCAUACGUAGCAUUCCAAUUUAUUAUGUCUGAAUUACAAGCAAUCAGAAGUUGAGGACAAGCCUAUAGAAGCUCAAAUUUUUCUGAAUAAAACCAUACCCUACACCGAAUUAGGGCUCUAUGAAGCCUCUAAUACUCGAAACAAUCGAAGAAGCAUUGGGGCUCUAAGACUAAGAAGGAGAAGAUGAAAAGAAACUAGCUACAAAAUUAAAACAUAUGUUUUCAUUGAUUAAUUACAUUCCUAAAGAUACAACACACUUAUCCCCUCUGUUGAACACCACAAUUGUUCCUUGUGACCUUGAAGUAGAAAUUGAAAUGAUAAGUUGCAAAAAUCAUAAAUUUCACUAUCUUGUCUGUUGUGAACAUGCCAGCAUACCAGUACAUAAUCAGAAAUGAAUGUCCCAAGAUAACUGUCACUAAUACAACGUAUGUCGGCUUCUUUUCCGUUUUCAAAGAUAAUACAGUGAACGGCAUCAGGGGCGGUUCUAAGGCCCGGCGACCCCCGGCUCCGGGCCAAAUUUUUUGUGUAAAUCCCUAUGAAUUUCUUAUAUAAACCCCUAUAAAUUGGGCAAUUUCUUUACAUUUUUUAUUAUUUGCUUGCAAUUUCUUAUGUACGCCCUAUAAAUGUGUUGCAAAAAAAUUUUCCGCCCAGGCUUUACAAUAUUCCUGGCUCCGCCACUGAACGGCAUGGUGGUAAACAUUAAAGCCCUCAGAAAGAAUGAUGGAAAAUAUAAAACUGCACAAAUCAGAUUUUGGAAUAGGAGGAAUAAUUAUUGAAGCCUCUAUUGUCUGAAAAUCAAACAUGCAUGCAAUGGAGUCUUCAGAGAAGGUUUGUAACAUGUUAUUAAAAAAUGACGGUUGAAUGGAGUAUGUGUCCAGAUAACUGCAAUUAACGGCAGGGAUGGUGGAAGCUCUGUUAGAGACACAAUUUUCCUGCAAUCAUCUAAAUCAAGCCAUUCCCAACAUUGAAUGGUUUUGGAUAUUGUCGGGGAGAACAUCUAAGUUGCAACACUCUUUCAAUUUUAGCCGUUUUAAAGACUAUAUACCAUCGAGGAUGGACCACAGACUUAAUGCAUCGAUUUCUGUGCACCCUGAAAGGUCUAGUUCGGUAACAAACCCAAGCCCAUGAUCAUCUGAUAACUUCUUCCCAACAGUGUUGAGCUUGUUACACUCAGUUAGACCAAGAGAAGUAAGUUUGCAAUUACGCCAAAUCGAUAAAGAUAAUUCACGUAUAGCAGUGCCAUGUAAGGAUAACUCUGUCAUUUCCUCUGAUGUCACCGAAAAUUCCAUGAGGGAUGAACAACCAUCAACUAAGAGAGAUUUUGAAUGAAAAUUGGUUUUUAGGCUAUGACUCAUGCAAAUCUCUACAAGCAUUUCAGCACAAAAGGUUGAUGGCAAAGAUUCAAGACAGUAUCCAUCCCAUCGAAGGUACCUCAAUUUAUCAGAAAUCCACUCAAGACCAUCGGGAAAGUACACAUUGCAUGUGCUCCCAUCAGAUAUAUUAUAGAUUUUAAGAUAUCUUAUAUUUUUCAUCCUUCUAAAGGAAUCAGACUUCAAUAAAGAUCCCCAACAUCUGUACAAUGGAACGUUAUACCUUCCACAGCUUCAGUUCCCUAAUAAAAACAUUUUUUUUUAAUAAUUAGGAAUGGUUCCCUGAUGAACUUUCCUUGUUAUAUUUCCCUGACGCAUUUUUGUUAUAAUUAGGAAUUGCAAACUCUAUUACCUUGUUGUUUUUCAAUAAUUCAGAUAUUUCUUCAGCCCUCCACAAUCUACUUCUUUUCCCAGGGUCUUUAGAUUCUUGAUUAACAAUCUCCCGACCCAUUUCUUGUAACAAAACAUGCAUUUCUAUUGUAUCAACAUCCAGAUUUACAUGCCAAAUAAGUUUUAGUUCUAUGAGAGCUUUAUCUAGAAGGACUUCUAUCCCAAUUGUUGCAAAGAAUCGACAAGCUUCCAAUACAUGUUUUACAAAAUCUUUAUGCUCUUCUCUCAACAAGCAUGCGAUAUCUAGAAAUAUGGCCUUUUGACAACAAUCUAAGUCAUCAUAACUCAAUUUUAACACAUUAAAAAUUUUCCUAUUGGGAAUCUUUUGGAGCAUUUUCAAUUCAUUGUCCCAUGCUUCCUUGCUUCUUGAACUCGGAUUUGCACCUAAAACUUUUAUAGCCAGAGGAUUGCCUUUGCAAUAGGCAAUUACACUCUCUGAUAGAUCUUCAUAUCCAAUUUUAGGAUGUUUUUCUCCGAAGAUAGUCAAACUCAAUAGUUGAAGAGAAUCAUGUUUGUUCAAUUCCUUAACCUCACAUAUUUGCACAUUUUGUGAAUUGACUAAAUAUGUGUUUAUAUCUAGUUGUAAUAAUGACCCCACUACCCGGUGCCAGUCCAUCAAUUUUUAGCAUAAGAUCUUCUAUUUGCUCUACAGUUUCUCUACACUAUCCAGCACAAUGUAAAAUUCUUUACGUGCAAUCCUUCUCACAGAGAAAGGGGUUUCUACGUGCAAUAAUUCUCACUCUGUUUUUUUAUUUUUUUAUUUUUUUUUCUUCUUUCUAAUCCUUUGAAUAUCUCCAGGUUCUUACUUUAUUGAAGGAAAUGUAACAUGAAGAAAAUAUAAGGAAAUGUAACAUGAAGCAAAAUUUGAGGAAAGAAAAGUUAGGCCUCAUCCUCAAGUAGUAGGAAUGUAGUCCAAUUUUGAUGGCAAAUUACACCCUAUUUCCAUUAACUUUUCAUCGGUAAGAACCAUGUCAUGGACGAGUCUUCAGAUAAGCAGAGACUUUGAGGGAGGAAUAUCUUUGCUCCAAAGUAGGAGCAAUGUGUUUUUUAAAAGAAUAAGUAUCUUUUAAAAGCUAAAUUUCCAUCAGAGGUUCUUUUCCAAAUCAAAGAAUCUUCACAGUCUUCAUCAGGAAUAGUUGCAGCACAAGCAAGCUAAUAGUAGGGAACAUCAACAGGACAUCACGAAGAAUGUUCCAGUGAAAAUUGGUGAAAUAGUAUUAGUCAGACACUUUUGAAGGGAAAGUGUUGAUAAAUAUAUUUUUCCUUAUAAAUAUAAAAAUAAAUAUUUGUCACCGAUACAAUAAAAAAAAUACACAAGACAAAUAUUCAUAAAAAAUUGGAUUAUUAUUUUUCAUUGAUAAACAAUCUAUGACACAAGAUAUAAACGGAGAAAUAAUUGUCACUAUUAAGCAGUAGUAAUUGACACAAGAUAUAAAUACUUUCAUGUACUUGAAGCUGCUCAUUCUAACCAAGGAAUUUCACUACUUCAACACCAAUGUUGCUCAGAUUUGUUUGCAAACUCAUGCUUACUUUGCUCAGAACCCUUCUCAACAUCCUCUGACCCCUCCAUGAAGUUACAGAAGCAUCAUAGCUCGAUAUCAAACAGUCUAAUGCAUAAACAGAUAUUGCGAUGAAGUAUUGUGCGAGAAACAAUGAGACAGAAAACGUUUCUGACUAUUAUAAUUCUUUGGACCCUCGAUAAAAUACAGCCGGUCAUUAUUUUCUAGAAUCAUGAGAAUUUUAAAACAAUUCUUCAAUUGAAGGAUUUAAAUCUUUUAAUAAAAUAAGCUAAGGUGGAAGGUAUGAUUGAAAAAGUGGAAAUUAUAUAGUGCUACAAUCAAAAUAAUUAACGGCUACUAACUAGCAUAACCUCUAGGAAUUAGAAAGCUUCUGCCUUGUUUAAAGAUACAAACAUACAAUUACACAGACUUGGGUCUAAUUACUUGGCGCCUGCGUCUAACAGAAGGUUGUUCCUCUACUUUGUAAGAAUAAGAAGGUUGUUCCUGAUCAUCUUCAUUUUCAUUGUUAUAGCUUCUGCCUUCACCUCCAAUUGCUAUAGACACAUAAGAGUCUUGAGCAAUGGAUUUUAACUUACCAAUUUCCUUACUAAUGCUACUACCCCAAUAUUCCCAUACAGGUAAGACCCCACACCCCUUUAUCCCCUCCUUUGACCACCGUAAUUCUUCAUUGGGACCUUGAAGUAUGAAUUGAAAUGAUAAGUUGCAAAUAUCAUAACUUCCAUUUUCUUGUCUGUUGUAACCAUGCCAACAUAUCAAUGCAUGAUCUGAAAUUAAUGUCCCAAAAUAAUUGUGACUAAUGCGACGUCUGUUGACUUCUUUUCCGCGUUCAAAAAUAAUACAAUGAAGGGCAUGGUGGUUAAUAGUGAAGCCCUCAGAAAAAAGGAUGCGAAAUAUGAAACCACAUAAGACAGAUUUUUUAAUAGGAAGAAUAGUUAUUGAAGCCUCGAUUGUCUGAAAAUCAAAAAUUAUUGGAUCUUGUGCUCCUGGCAGGAAAGAGAAAGCAUUUAUCACACCUUCUUCAAUAGAAGGGUCUUCAAAGAUCUUUCGUACCAUGUUUUCAAGCAAUGACCAUUGUGUGGAAUCUGUGUCCAGAUAAGUGCAAUUAACAGCUUUAAAAUAUAACAGGGAUGGCGGAAGCUCUAUCAGAGUCACGAGGUUCCUGCAAUCAUCUAAUUCAAGCCAUUCUAGCAUUGAAUGGUUUUGGAUAUUCUCUGGGAGACUUUCUAAGUUGCAACACUCUUUCAAUUUUAGCUGUUUUAAAGAUUGUAUGCCAUCAAGGAUGGACCACAAACUUAAUGCAUUAAUUUCUGUGCACCCUGAAAGGUCUAGUUCCGUAACAAACCCAAGUCCAUGAUCAUCUGAUAACUUAUUCCCGACAAUGUUAAGCUUGUUACAUCCAGUUAGGUUAAUAACAGUCAUUUUGGUAUUACGCCAAAUUGAUGAAGACAAUUGAUGUAUAUCAGUGCCACAUAAGGAUAACUCUGUCAUUUCCUCCGAUGUCACUGAAAAUUCCAUGAGAGAUGAACAACCAUCAAGUUUAAGGUUUCGGAGAGAAUUUGAAUGAAUAUUGGUUUUAAGGCUUUCGAUCUUUAUGCAACCUCCUAAAUCUAGUACAAUAAGUCGAGGGAGAGAAAAGAUGUAUGGAUGGAGAUGACGCAGGCUUUCACAUUUAUAGAGAUGUACUUUUUCAAGAUUUGUAGCCCUAGAUAAGUUUGGGAUCUCAAUCAGAUCUUUGGAGUAAUUAAGGCUAAAUGUGAUUAGAUUCACAAGAUUCUGUAACAAGAAAUAAACAUGCAUUAGUGUCGAUUAAAAGAGAAACAAAACCUAGUUAAGAAUAAACAGAAGCAUGCCAUACUAACUCUGCUGCAUUUUUGUGAAUGACAUUAGACUUCCUCUUGUACCUCUAUAAAGUUAACAAGUACAUCCAAACAUUUUGUACCUGAACUCCAUCCCAGAGCUUUUUAAGCUUGCUAUGAGUCAUGUGAAGCUCUACAAGCAUUUCAGCACAAAAGUUUGAUGGAAAAGACUCAGGACAAUAUCCCUCCCAUUGAAGGUACCUCAAUUUAUCAGAAAGCCACUCGAGACCAUCAGGAAAAUGUACAUUGCAUAUGCUCCCGUUGGAUAUAUUAUGAAUCUUAAGAUAUCUUAAGUUUGUCAUCCUUCUAAAGGAAUCAGACUUCAAGUAUAGAUCCCCAACUUCCGUACUAUCGAAUAUUAUACCUUCCCCAACUUUAGUUCCCUGACAACGAAAAUUAGAUUAAUAAUUAGGAAAGGCUGUCAUAUGUACUUUCAUUGUUAUAUUUUAUAAUUACAUACAUAUAUUUUCAUAUAUAAGUGAUUGCAUCCUCUGCUUACCUUGUUUUCUUUUAAUAUAUCAGAUAUUUCUUUAGCUCUCCACAACCGACUUCGUUUUCCAGGGUUUAUAGAUUCUUGAUUAACAAUCUCCUGUCCCAUUUCUUGUAACAAAUCAUGUAUAUGUAAACUAUCAACUUCCAACUUGGCAUACGAGUGCCAAUUUGGUUUUACUUGUAUGAGAGCUUUAUCUAAAACGACUUCUAUCCCACUUUCUGCAAAGAACUCACAAGCUUCCAACAAAUCUAUUAUAAAUAUUUUAUGCUCUCCUCUCAAAAAGCAUGCAAUAUCUAAAAAUAUGGCCUGUUGAAAAAAAUCUAAGUCAUCAUAACUGAAUUUUAACACGAUAUAAAUUUUCCUAUUUGGAAUCUUUUCGAGCUUUUUCAAUUCAUUUUCCCAUGCCUCUUUGCCUCUUGAGCGGAGAUUUACCCCUAAAACUUUUAAAGCCAGAGGAUUGCCUUUGCAAUAGGCAAUUACACUUUCUGAUAGAUCUUCAUAUCCAAUUUUAGGCUGUUUUCCUCCGAAGGCAUUCAAACUGAAUAGCUGAAGAGAAUCAUGAUUGUUCAAUUACAUGACCUCAUAUAUCUCACAUUUACUGAACUGACUAAAUAUGUGCUUAUCUCUAGUUGUCAUAAUGACCCUACUACCCGGUCCCAGCCCAUCAAUUUUUAGGAUAAGAUCUUCUAUUUGCUCUAAGGUUUCUAUGCCAUCUAACACAAUUAAAACUUUAAUUUUACGUGAAAUCCUUCUCUUGGAUAAAGUGGCUUCUAUGUAGGAUGCAUCAGGAUGAAUAUUUUCCUCCUCUAACAAUGAGGAUAAAAGUUUAUUGUAUACAACAUUAUGUCCAUACCUGUUUGAUUCAUCCAUUACAUUGAGAAAGCAACAACCUUCAAAUUGAGAAUAAAUUAUAGCAUAUGAAGCCCUAGCAAGAGUGGUCUUUCCUAUGCCACCCAUGCCCCAUAUUCCAAGGACUCUAACAUCAUUUGAGCCAAUUUUCAGUAUUGACUCAAUUUGGUCAUAAUUUUUCUCAACUCCAACAAGCCCCUUAAUUUCACAUGGGUAACUAAGAUUCAGUUUCCGCAAAACAUAUUUAACAAUGUCCUUAAUGAAGUCCGAUUCGAUCCUAGAAUAUGAAAGAGAGGAAGAAGAUUUUACAAGUCUAACAAAUACAAUAGUAGAAAAGUACAUCUAUAUGAUUAGUAUACAAAAUUUAUAGUCAAUAAGGUGACAGUGGCUUAGUAGAGCAAGAAACAAACAAAAAUUAGAUUUGGGGAAACAAAAUACCAAAGACACAAGGUAAUAAAUGUAUAUUUUCUAUGACUUUGGUAGUUUUCAGAAGGUUGUGUCAACUAUUACUUUGGCCUGUUUAUUUUCAAAAAUUAUUUUUAGUGUUUGUUUUCUAAAAUUUAUGUUCAUUUCCAAUUAAGAAAAUGGAGAUGAAAGACUCAUGUAGUAAAUAGCUGUGCUAUAUUAGAAAACAAAACAUGUAAAUGAUAUGAAAUAGUUUAUUUAUUUUACUUCGAAUUUUUUCGUUUUGUUUACCUGUAAUUUUGAGAGUCCCAACCAACUAAACUAGCUGCCUCAGUGAGUGCAUCUUUCCAUUCCUGUAACUUGUCAUUAUUGCUCUUCAAAUCUCGCUUAUGUUUUGCGAAGGCUUGCUUGUAACUCCCAGUCUGCUUCCUCACAUGUGAUGGAUCUAUGUUGUAAAAAACAGGUAUCACAAUCUGUACCAUAUAUUUCUUGCAUUCAAGAAUCUUUUUGAGCUCAUUCAAGCACCAUUUUGAGGAAGCAUAGUUUUCUGAGAAGAUGACAAUAGACACAUGUGACUCCUCAAUGGCUCUGAUGAGUGCUGGCGAUAUCUUAUCUCCUUUUUGAAGCUCAUUGUUGUCUAUAAAGGUUUCAACUUUCUUUCGGCUCAGAGCAUCAUAAAGAUGGCAUGUGAAGUUUCUGCGGGUAUCCUCACCUCGAAAGCUAAGAAAAACGUCAUAUUUUUUCACAGAUGCCACAGAAGAAGAAAAAACACUGUUUGUUUGCUUCCUAGCCAUUAUGAAUUCCAAGCGCUGCGCUAAUCACAAUGCUACACUCAAACAUAAAAAAUAUUUGAUGUUUAAAUUUGUUCUCGGUUACUAUUUGUACUGGCACUCGUGAUAGUGUUACAUAUUGAGAUUUAUAAAUCAGAUUGACAUCAGAUCAGGCAGUUCAAAGUCCACAUAUUGCUCAUAUAUCGACCUAGGUAAUGUGUAUUUUUUGAUCUAGGAAAGCUAUAGAAUAUGGCAAUUCCACGGGCCAGAUUAAUUAUUACUUCACAUUCAUAGGCUAUUUAAGUCUAGUUUUAUGUAUGGACUCCAAUCAUGUUUAACCUUGUUGCUUGAAUUGAAUUCUAGGUUUUAUCAGGGUUUCUCUUCAUUAGCCUUUUAAACAUUGAGUAGUAAUUAACAAAUAUGAAGACUAACUUAGCAUUCAUUCUUCAGAACCAAUUUGAAAGACUAAUUUGAAAUAUUUGCCAAUAUUGAUUUCAAAUUCAAGGAUAAAAUUAUGAAUAAACUACAAUUAGAGAAACUAACUAGUUAAAUUAUAAUUGACGGAAAAUAGAUCAUACCAAAGUCAGAAUCCAGCAAUAAUUGAGGAGGAAAAGAAUGUACAAUGACAGUCACAAUCCCAGCAGGGCAAUUAGCUUCUACCGGAAUCAAUAAAUAGCUUCUACCGGAAUCAAAAGCAGGCCUAACCAAAUAAUUCCAAUAAUUUAGAUGAAUGUCUUUAGACACCAAUUUUUUCAUUUUUAAGUGUUUAGGUACAACAGUUCAUAAUGCUUUGGUCGUGAUUUUAUAUGGAUUGAUCAAAAUUAAAAUAUAAAAUAACAUGUGGAUUUCAUGGUUUCCCUUCAUAGAAGUUUCGAUUCCAAUGCGUAGUCAGAUCAGAUGCAUAAAUGUGCAAGACGCCGGCUGAUUAAAAUAUGGCUACAAGAGGAUAUAUAUUUAGAGAGAAUUCAAAUCCUUCUAAGUAAAUUUUAUUGUUUGGAUGAUUAAUUUAGAGAAUUUUUUAAUUUAAUGAAAUUUUAUAAAGUAUUUUGUUCAAGUUAAAUUGAGUGAAUUUCAAAUGACAAAUAAGAUCUAGGAAUUUCAAAUUUCAAGUAUCAUUGUAACAUACAUUUUACUUUGAAAACCUGGUUACUUUUUCUUAUCUAGUUAAAAUAAAUAAAUUUCAAGUAUUGUAAGUGCUGGGUUGAAAGAGAUGUGGUUUGAUCAUUAUGUAGGAUAAAAAAAAUAAAAAAAUAAAAAAAUAAAAUAAAAAAAUCAUGAAUAAAUGUUACUCACUCCAUCUCAAAAUAUAUAAUUUGCUGAGUUUCUGCCUAAUUUCAAUACAUGAUAAUUAGUCUAACAGAUAACUUAGUCUGCAUGAUGCCAAGUUGAUUUCCAAAUUUGGCAUACGGCAUAAAAUACCUUACCUUCCCCAGUCAGUUUGGCAAAGUGGUAAGUUCUUAUUGGUUGUCAGUGUGAAAGAAAUUUACACCGACAGUGCAUGCCCCUAACUCUAUUGAUAAAUGGUAUUUUACAAUGAUCUGAGUAUAGUUUUGACAGUUGACAUCAUUGGAAUGGGAAAUUUUUAGUUGACAAUGCCAAAUACAGUAAGAACUGUAAACAAUAGAACCAACAUUAUAGACUGUUAUUUUGUGGGAAACACCAAUAUCUUAGACCUGUAUCAUUUAAACAGGAAAACCCAUUUACAGAACCAUUGUUCUUCUUAUGUUUCUUUCAUAUGACUCAACCAUGAAAAUCGAGCAGCUACUGCAGAAAGGGGAAAGAGAAACGGGAAUGAAAAUUCUUUUGGCGGUAAAGCGUAUUAUGCUUGGAGAAAGUGGCGCUUCAACCAUUAUGAUCAAGAACAUGAAACCACAAGGGAAUAGGGAUCCAUACACAAAUUGAUUAAUAUACCAACAAGUUCAGCACAAAAAAACUGAAUAAAAUUAGGAAUAUUUCUGAAAUGGUAUAAGUAACAAGCAACGUAUCACAAGAUUUUACAUGAAAAACAGGAGAAAGAGAUCACAACAUUUCUGACUUGUAUUAUUCUUUUGACCCUCUUAGCAAGUGCCUCAAAAAAAGACCUGUCCAGGAAUCAUGAGAAUUUUAAAACAAUUAUUCAUUUGAAGGAUUAAACUCUUUCUAUAUCAAAAUAAACUAAUAUGGAAUUUAUAAUUAGAAAGUAGAUGAGAAGAUUCAUACCGAUUGAACAGCAAGGAUGUUUCUGGUCAUCUUCAUUUUCAAUGUUGGAGCUUAUGACUUCACCUCCAAUUGCUGAAGGCUGUAACUCAUCAUUAUAAUUUUCCUGGCCAUCUUCAAUUUCAUUGUUAGACCAAUAAGACCUGUCAGAAUAUUGAUUACUGAAUUUUAAUUUACCAAUUUCCCUACCAGCCAGAUCCGACUUAUGUUCUAAGUUAUAUACAGGUAAGAUCCCACACCCUUUGAUCCCCUCCGUUGACCACCCCAAUUCUACGUUAUGUAUGAAUUGAAAUGAUAGUUUACAAUCAUUACUUCCAAAUUUUUCUCUUUUGUAACAAUACCAACAUAACAAUACAUGAUCUGAAAUUAAUCUCACAAUAUAAAGGGCAAAACAAAUAAUACACCUGUCGACUUCUUUGCCGUGUUCUAAGAUGAUACAAUGCAGGGGGUGACUCUGAAAAAGGAAGCCCUCAGAAAGAAUGGUGCAGAAUAUGAAACCAGACAGGUUAUAUUUUGGAAUAGGAGGAAUGGUUAUUGAAGCCUUCAUUGUUUGAAAAUCAAACUUGCAAGGAACUUGUGCUCCUGGCCAGAAAAGGUAAUUGGCAUCUUUAUUUACAUGAAAAGGGUCUUUAGAGAAAAUUUGUACCAUGUUCUCAAGAAAUGACCGUUGAGUGGAGUCUGUAUCCAGAUAAGUGCAAUUAAUGCCACUCAAAGUUAUUAGGGAUGACGGAAGUUCUGUUAGAGACACAAGUUUCCUGCAACCAUCUAAAUCAAGCCAUUUUAGCAUUGAAUGGUUUCGGAUAUUCUCAGGGAGACAUUCCAAGUUGCAACACUCUUGUAAUGUUAGCCCUUUUAAAGAUUGUAUGCCAUCAAGGAUGGACCACAGACUUAAUGCAUUCAUUUCUGUGCACCCUGAAAGGUCUAGUUCUGUAACAGACCCAAGUCCAUGAUCAUCUGAUAACUUAUUCCCAACAAUGUUAAGCUUGUUACACUUGGAUAGGCCAAGCGAAGUAAGUUUUCUAUUACGCCAAAUCGAUGAAGACAAUUCACGUAUAGCAGUGCCACCUAAGGUCAACUCUGUCAUUUCAUCCGAUGUCACUGAAAAUUCUGUGAGAGAAUAACAACCAUCAAGUAAGAGUUCACGAAGAGAUUUUGAAUGAAUGUUGGUUUUAAGGCUUUCAAUCUUUUUGCAACCUCGUAAAUCUAGAUAUCUAAGAUCAGGGAGAGAAAAGAUAGAAGAAUGGAGCUGACCCAGGCUUUCACAUUGAAAAAGAUAUACUCUAUGAAGAUUUGUAGCCUUAGAUAAGUCUGGGAUCUCAAUCAGAUUUUUGGAGGAUUCAAGCCAAAGUAUGUUUAGAUUCACAAGAUUCUGUAACAAGAAAUAAAAACACCAUUUAAAUUCAUAAAUAGAGAAACUAAACCUAAUUAAGCAUAAAUAGAGACUUUUUAAGAAUGAGCAUUAGACUUCCUCUCAUACUUCAAAAAAUUAACAAGUAUAUCCAAACACAUUUGUACCUGAACUCCAUCCCAUAGCUUUUUAAGCUUGCUAUGACUCAAGUGAAGCUCUAUGAGCAUUUCAGCACAAAAGGUUGAUGGCAAAAACUCAAGACAGUAUCCUUCCCAUCGAAGAUACCUCAAUUUAUCAGAAAUCCACUCAAGACCAUCGGGAAAGUACACAUUGCAUGUGUUUCCUCUAGAUAUAUUAUAGAUUUUAAGAUAUCUUAAAUUUUUCAUCCUUCUAAAGGAAUUAGACUUCAAGUAAAGAUCCCCCACAUCUGUACUAUCGAAUGUUAUCCCUUCGACAGCUUCAGUUCCCUGAUAAAAAUUACAUUAAUAAUUAGGAAUGAUUGUCACAUAUACUUUCCUUGUUAUAUUUCAUAAUCACAUAGAUGUGUUAUUUUGAUGUAGAAGGGAAUAGAUCCUCUACUUACUUUGUUAUAUUUUAAUACAUCGGAUAUCUCUUCAGCUUUCCACAGUCGACUUCGUUUUCCAGGAUCUUCAGAUUCUUGAUUAACAAUCUCCCGUCCCAUUUCUUGUAACAAAUCAUGCAUUUCUAUAGUACAAACUUCCCUUUUGACAUGCAAAAUUGAAUCUAGUUGAAUGAGAGCUUUAUCUAGAAGGACGUCUAUCCCACUUAUUGCAAAGAAAUCAGAAGCUUCCAGUAGAUCUCUUACAAAAUCUUUACCCUGUCCACUCAACAAGCAUGCGAUGUCUAGAAAUAUGGCCUUUUGACAACGAUCUAACUCAUCAUAACUCAAUUUUAACACAUUAUGAAUUUUUCGAUUGGGAAUCUUUUGGAGCUUUUUCAAUUCAUUUUCCCACGCUUCUUGGCCCCUUGAACUGAGAUUUGCACCUAAAACUUUUAAUGCCAGAGGGUUACCUUUGCAAUAGGCAAUUACACUUUCUGAUAGAUCUUCAUAUCCAAUUUUAGGUUGUUUUUCUUUGAAGGCAGUCAAACUGAAUAGCUGAAAAGAAUCAUGCUUGUUCAAUUCUUUAAGCUCAUAUAUUUCACAUUUACUCACCUGACUAAAUAUGUGCUUAUCUCUAGUUGUAAUAAUGACCCUACUACCUGGUCCCAGACCAUCAAUUUUUGGGAUAAGAUCAUCUAUUUGCUCUAAGGUUUCUACACCAUCCAACACAAUUAAAACUUUUUUACGCCCAAUCCUUCUCUCGGAGAAAGGGGCUUCUAUGUAGGAUGCAUCAGGAUGAAUAUUUUCUUCCUCUAACAAUGAAGACAAAAGUUUAUUGAGUACAACAUUAAGUCCAUACUUGUUUGAUUCAUCCAUUACAUUGAGUAAGCAACAACCUUCGAAUUGAGAAUACAUUUUAGCAUAUAAAGCCCUAGCAAGGGUGGUCUUUCCUAUGCCACCCAUGCCCCAUAUUCCAAGGACUCUGACUUCAUGUGACCCAAUUUUCAGCUUUGAUUCAAUUUGGUCAUAAUUUUUCUCAAUUCCAACAAGCCCGGCCUUAAUUUCAUAUGGGUAUUUAAGAUUCAGUUUCUGCAAAACAUCUUCAACGAUAUCCUUAAUGAAGCGUGAUUCAGUCCUAGCAUACGAAAGAGGGGAAGAAGGUUUGAUAAGUCUACAAAUACAAUGGAAGGAAAAUACAUCUAUAUGAUUGGUAAAUAAAAUUUAUAGUCGACAUGGUGGCACUGGCAGUUCCUUAGCAGAGCAAGAAAGAAAGAAAAUUAGAUUUGAGGAAAUAAAUACCAAUGAUAGAGAAUGUAAUUAAUGUCUAAAUUUUCUAGGAAGUGAAAUCCUAAUGAAAAUUCGAAAAAAAUAAAUAAAUGUUUUAUGCUAGAAAUAUAACACAACUGUGUGGGAUGGAUAGUGCAGAUUUCAAAAAUUGUGUGUAUGCAGGGUACAAGCAUAUGAUUAUUAAAUAGUUUUCAGAAGGUCAUAUCAACUAUGGCCAGGCACAUAAACAUCAUUGUUCACUUCUCCAAAUAAUUCGGCCUGUUUACUUUCUAAAAUUAAUUUUAGCUUUCAUUUUUUAAAAUCUAUGUUCAUUUCCAACCAUGAAUAAGGAGAUGAAAGACUCAUGUAGUAUAUAAUUGUGCUAUAUUAGAAAACAAAACAUGAAAAUUAUAUAAAAUAGUUUAUUGGUUUUACUUAGAAUUUUGAGAACAUACAAGUCAUGGCAUGUACAAAGCUCGAUAGUUCGUUUUACUUACUCAAAAUUUUGAAAGUCCCAACCGCCUAAACUAGCUGCCUCAGUGAGAGCGGCUUUCCAUUCCUGUAACUUGUCAUUAUUGCUCUUCAAAUCUCGCUUAUGUUUUGCAAAAGCUUGCUCGUAACUCCCGGUCUGGUUCCUCACAUGUGAUGGAUCUAUUUUGUAAAAAACUGGUAUCACAAUGUGUUCCUUAUAUUUCUUGCAUUCAAGAAUCUUCUUGAGCUCAUUCAAGCACCAUUUUGAAGAAGCAUAGUUUUCUGAGAAGAUGACAAUAGAUGCAUGUGACUUCUCAAUGGCUUUGAUGAGUGCUGGCGAGAUCUCAUCUCCUUUUUGAAGCUUAUUGUUGUCUAUAAAGGUUUCAACUUUCUUUCGGCUCAGAGCAUCAUAAAGAUGGCUGGUGAAGUUUCUGCGAGUAUCCUCACCUCGAAAGCUAAGAAAAACGUCAUAUUUUUUCAGAGGCACCACAUCAGAAGAAGAUAUGGAAGAAAAAGCACUGCUCAUUUUCUACCUAGUGAUUAUGAAUUCCAAGUGCCUGCACUAAUCACAAUGCUACACUCAAAAAUAAAAUAAAAAUUUAUGUUUAAAUGUGUUCUUGAUACUUGUCAAUGAUAUUUUUGACAGGUACUCGGUUCAUAUAUCUGAUUGACAUCAGAUCAAGCAGUUCAAGGUUCACAUAUUGCUCAUCUAUGGAUAUAAUAAAUAAACAGCAUUUGUUAUUUCAAGUCGUUUGUGAUUCUUGGAAAUUUGUUUGUCUUAUAUUAAUGGCUUGCUUAUGAUGUGGAAAACCUAUACAGUUAUUUUGAAGAUGAAAAAACUUGAAUAGACAUUAAAAGCUUAAUGACAUGAAAUAGUAAAGAAUCUUAACAUUUUUUUGAAUGACAAAUCCUAGUAGUUAGUUGUUAGAUUAAGUAUUGACUAUUUCGUCCAGGUUUGAACCGAGAGUCUCCAACUUCUUAUCCGUGAGUUCAAAUUUCAAACCAGUUGAGCUACUCAACCUCCCAAAUAAAAAAACUUAACUCAGAUUAAGUGAAGAGCAACCAAAAUAAAACAUAGAAUUCAAUUCAAGCAACAAGGUUAAGCAUCAUUGGAGUCCAUACAUAAAAUUAGUCAUAAAUAACCAGCCUAUGAAUGUAAAGCAAAAACAAAUCUGGCCCAUGUAUGAUACUUUUUUCUCAAGCAGCAUUUUCAGAUACAAAACAGAGUAAUUUCCUAAUCAGUAAAAAUGGGGUACAAAUAAGAAAUAUGAAGACUAAUUAAACAUUCAUAUACAAUUCUUGAAGACCAAUUUAAUCUUAUAAGUUAAAUUAAAAUUGAUGGAAAAAAGAUGAUACCAAAGUCAGAUCCAGCUUAAUGCAAUAGAGGAGAAAAAGACUGUAUGGCUUAGCUUCUGCUGGAAUCAAUUUUGGAUCAAAAUAACAAAUGUGAUUUCACUGUUAUGCAAUCCUAAGUAAAAUGGCUUCAUUGCUCUUUAACAGAUACCAUAAGAUAAAAUAUACUGUAACAUACAGUAACCUUGUUGACUUGGGGGCUUCACUUGGGUUCCAACUACUUUUAAGUUUUAACCAGAAAAAUAAAUACAUGUGUAUUUAAGGCCACAAGAUUAAAUACAAACUUUAUCUUAAAAAUAACUCAUUCAACAUCUAAAAUUUAUAAAAUUGAUUUUUUUUUUAAAAUAGAAUUUAUCACUUGUUUCCUUUUUAGUUUUAUACUAAAUGUUUAGCUCAGUUGAUACAGUGCAUAAUAUAUGCAAAAUCCAGGGUUCGAAUAUUGGACGCCAUCAAAAAGAAAUGUUUUUAAAAAGUUAUUAACAAGAUUUUUUCAUGGUAAAUUCUAUCCACUAAACUACUUGAUAAAAAAAAUAUAAAAAAAAAAAAAAAAGACAGCAUCCAUAUUGACGUUAGUAAAUCUUAUGAUAAUUUAUCGAAAAAAUAAUAAUAAAUAAGAAUUUACAUAGAUAUGUUAUUUCGGCCAUACCCCAGUGAAAGUUGAGAAUAGAUAAAAGGUGUUUGUAUUUGACAUUUUUGUCGAAUAUCUAUACUUUUAAAAAAUUAAAAAAAUACAUGGUUUUUGGAAUAACUUUUUCAUUUCUAAUUAUACCUCUAAGCAAAUCUGUCUAGAAGAAAUAGAAGAAAUAUAUAAUUGAAUCCUGUCAUCUUUUAAUUUUUCUAAUUACAUUUCAUGUAUUCAUGGUUACACACUAAAAUGAUAAAAUUAUCCUUAAAUAAAAUUUAAUUUAAUCUUAAACUCGGUUUAAGUAGGUCAUGUAAACUUAAUUUUAGUAGACAAUGUAAACUGAGUUUAAGUGUAACACUUUAAGUAAGUUAUAUAAACUUAGCUUAAGUAGGUCAUGUAAAAUGAUCAGUUUAAGUGUACAUACUAAAAGUUAAAUUUUGCUUUAACCUCUUCAACCUUGUUUAAUGAUUCUACAUAAUCUUAUUUUAAGUAUGUACUUGUAAACUCAACUUAGGUAGACUAUGUGACUAAAUUUACAUGUACCCACUUAAACUGAAUUUAAGUUAACCUCAACGAUGUUAAUUAACGUUGUUUAUGUUGCACCAUUAAAUAAUCGUGUUGUAAAGUGCAUAACAUAUCAACGUUUGAACAACAAAGAAAAAAAAUCGAAACUCUAGCAUCAAUGAAAAAGAAGAAGAAAUUCAAUUAUUUAUAUGCAAUAGAGUAUGGACGAAAGAUGUUUUGAUUCACUCUUUAAUCUUCUAUAUAGAUUGAUUGACCAUCCAUAAUUGUUUGUGGGGGAAAGCGGGUGAAAUUUUAGAGUGACAAUGAAUGAAAUCAAGGUUUUAAGAAAAUUUAUAUAAAAGAACAAUUUUAAUUUUAUUAUAAAAUUUUAAGUAAAUAUAUGUGUAAUAAGAAAUACAUAGGAUGUAAAAAGAAAAACUCUUGUUAUCAUCAAAACUCAAAGUGGUGUUGUCAAACACAUUUUAUUCCAACAAUAUGUUCGAUAAAACGCAUACAAGUCUGGGAUCAUCCUUGACUUUAUAAUGUUGCGUGCAUUUUACCAACUACUUAUCAACAUUUGUAGUGGCCAUAUAUCAUUGUUUUAAACCUGUUGAUUACACCUAAGCAGCAAUGGAGCUAAUUAAUGGAUUUUUUUGACAAUAAUAGAACCAUAACUACAUGACUGCCUACUUGGAAGCUUGAGAAUGAUGGUGUUUAUACAGUUAAGAAUCCAUACAAGGACAUUAUGAAUCAUGAUAUGGCCCUUUUGCAACAUCGUGUGCCGAGAAAUUGGAAUUAUGUUUGAGUUUAAAGUUGCCACCGUAGCUACCACAAUUGUUUGCCUACUACAAUUCGAUUGCAAUUGAAAGGUGUUUCGUGUACUGAUUUGUGCGCGAUGUGUGAAGACUUUGGUGAAGAUAAUACUUAUUUGUUUUUAUGUGUAGUAAAAGUGUGCUUUGUUGGAAGCACACGAUUUUGGAUUCCUUUGAUGGUAGUCUUCGAUCUUGCUGCAAGUUUCUCGAAAAAUGUGUUUUCUAUUCUAUAACAUCUGGACCAGCAGCAAAAACAAAUCUUUGGUGUGACGCUAUGGAGUAUUUGGAAGAAUAGAAAUAACAAGGUUUGUAACAAUGUUACUGAAACAUCUCAAACUAUUUGUGAACGUGCACGUUCCUUCUCGCUAGCUGGAUGAAUGCCCAAACUAUUCGACACCAUACUUUUCGGCAUUCCAUUACACAGAGCGAUCUACAUAUUGACAUAACCAAGUCCCGACAGGUUCAAAUGCAAUGUAGAUGCUUUCUUUUCUCAUGCUCUGAAUCGAGUCGGGCUAGGUAUGUGUAUUCGAGAUGAUUGUUGAACCAAAAAUCUUUUUGAUGAAUGUUUUAAUAAUAACAAACUUUAUGGAAUAAACACUAAGUUUUAUGAAUGGUGAUCUACUGAUGUUUGCACUUAAGUCUUUUCCGAGAAGUAAACAAGAAAUAAGUCUUUUACAAGUGCAUAGAUAUAUUCAAUGAAAGAAUACCAAAACAAUAGCAUCACAAGCUCAAAGAAGAUAUAGAAAAAAUAUUGUUUGAAUCAAAUGAGUAUUGAUUGAAGAUUCAACAAGAAGAUGUAUUUUAUGAUCAAUUGACUCAUCCUCAUCACCACAUGGUUUUCAACAAAGCAUUAAAAAAUUUGAGGAAUAAAGGGUUAAUAUUUGAAAGACACUUAAUGAACAAGAAACAUUGUGUGGAAUCACUAAGAGGAACUAUGAGAAGAAUUGUAUCAUCAAACAAUUCAAGGUUAAUUGACCAAGAAGAUAUUGUCUUCUUAUAUAGAAGAGAACAUUAUCAACUUUGAUGAAAAGAAGGUUCUCAUGAUGAAGAUGAUUAUUACACUCGAAAUAAUUAGAAUCAACUUUGAAGAGAAACCAACCGAUGAAUAAAUUAUUUAUUAAGUCAUUCAUUAAUUGGAGAACUAUCAAGGAAGACAAAUCAUGAUCAUAUGCAUGAAGAUUCUAUCAUAAAAGACUUAGGAUGAUCCAAGAAUCUUCAAUCAUUUUUCAAGAUAUAAUUUGGGAGAAUAGAAAUCAAUAAAAGGAAUUUUUACUUUGAGAAAGGUUUCUCAUGUUCUUACAAAAGAACAUUAUGGUCAUAAAAAGUGAAGAGAACACCUUCACUUUAUGUUUUUAAAGAUAACACAUAUUUACAUUUAUUAUCUUGUUAUCUACUAAUGUGAGAAUGUUUCAGUGAGAAUGUUCUCAAGAACGUUCUGACCUCGCAAAGAUAACAAAACAUCUUUAACAAAGCAAAUGACAAAAAUCAUCUUUUGAUAAAUGUCAAGAAUGUGCAUAAUCAAAGAUCAAGAAUAAUUGUUAUUCUCUUUGUCUCACCAAAAGAAGGAUCAAUGAUCAUAAAAAUCAAGAUCCUUAAAGGCAUUAAAUGGCAAGAAAUCAAGACAAAUCAAAGCAUUAUGGCACAUGGGCCAUGAUAGCAAAAGAACAAAGAUUAAAUCAUAAUGGCCUUAAAAGAGUGAAAAGAUUCAUUAAAGAAAGGCUUAAAUAUGAUAUUAGUCCCUGUAAUUUGGGUCGGUUUUGAAUUUCGUCCCUGUAAAAAAAAAACUUUGAAUUACAUCCCUGUAAAAAAAAAUUUGUUUGAAAAAGGUCUAUGGCCCCACAUUUUUGAUGAUAUGGCAUGGGUUUUGCCACAUGGCAGUUGCUGACUGUGCAACUUAUGCCACAUGGCGCUGACGUGGCAUGCCACAUAAUAUUAAAUUUAAAAAAAUAAUUUUUAAAUUCUAAAAAUUGUUUUUAAAAUUUAAAAAUAUAAAAAAAAAAUCUGAAAAAAAUUUAAAAAUAUUAAAAUUAUUUUUAUCAUAUAAUUUUCAAAAAAAUUUUUUUUUUUAAAUUAUAAAAUCUGAAAUUUCUGAAAAAAAAAAAUGAAAUGAUUUUUUUUUAAAAUAUGAAGAAAAAAAUAUAAUUUUCAAAUUAAAAAAAAUUAAUGAUCGAAAAUUUAAUUUUAACUGUUUUUUUUCGAUUUUUUAAAUGAUUUUUGAAUUUAUUUUCAUAUUUUUUUAAAUUUUUUAAUUACGUGGCUGCCACGUGGCAAAACCUAUGCCAUAUCAUAAAAAAUGUGGGGCCAGGGACCUUUUUCAAACAAAAAAAAAAUUUACAGGGAUGUUUUUCAAACUUUUAUUUUACAGGGACGAAAAUGAUAUUUAAGCCUUAAAGAAAUAUCUCAAAGUUGUUCCUUGUGGAAAAAGCAUAUGACAUCAUCAUAUAGCAUAAAGAUGACAUAAACACAUCUUAUCAAGUGGCUAGCAAGCUUCUACAACAAUAUUACAGCUGAUAACAACUUGCAAAACGUGUUCCUUCUUUGUACAAGUUUGGCUGGUACAGAGAGAACGUUAUGGAGAACGUUCUGGGUAAGAAAAACCAUCAAAGAAAGAUCUCAAAGUUGUGCCUUAGCAUAUGACAUCAUGCAAUGACAUCAAGCUUGCAUCAUCUUAAGUGGCCUCCAAGGCUUCUACAAUCAGGCAUAUAACUCGUUACAUCUUGCAAAAACGUGUUGCUCUGUGCCCAAGUUAUGGCUGGAAUAGAGAGAACGUUCUCGGUGAACAGUUUCAUGCUUUCUCUCCAAGCAUCAAAUGGAGCCAAUUUAUUUUGAAUUUGAAUUGAGCUCCAAUAGCUCUUUUUUGACUUGUUCUCCAAGGAUACAUCUCCUAUAAAUAGAGGACGUCCAUGAAGGUUAAUAGCAAGAGUUUUGAUAUACAAAAGCUUUGACAUCUCUCUCUCUCUCAAAGCUAAAGAAAUCAUUAUCUUCAUCAAUCUCUUUAACAUCUCUUUCGACAAUCACAAAGCAAACUCCAUAAUCUUUCACUAUAUUUAUCAUCUUUAUCUCUCAUUGAGAACAUCUUUCUGAGUUUGUAUUUGUACAAGGAUAGUUUGUUUGAGACGCUAGAUCCAAACAACAUCUUUCUCAUUUUCGUUUGAGACAUUAGAUCCAAACAAUCAUCUUACAAAGAGAUAACUAGAUCUCAAGUCUAUUGGGCUUAAUAGUUUGAGAUAGGAAGAGUUCCAAGCUUUCUUGUGCAAAAGCAAAGAAUUGUAGAAGCCUGCUGAGGUUGAUAAUACAAGGGUUACAGACUGAUCUGGUGUGAUCAAGACCUUAUAGUGUUGGUUAGAAGUUUCUACCAACUGAAUACUAUAGUGGAUAAUCUCACACGAAAUGUGGGGACUGUGGAAGUAACCGGGAUUGGUGAACCAGGAUAACUCUCCUGUGUUAUUCUUCUUUCUCUCUCCCUCUCUAUCUUUUAUUUUUACACAAUAUGCACACACUAUCACACUCAUUAAUAUUUAUAACUCCUCUCUCCCUCCCUCUCUCCUGUGUUAUUCUUCUUUCUCUCUCCCUCUCUCUAUCUCUAAGAUAUUCUGGUCCUAAUUAAUCACAACCAAAUUAAUCCAGAGUUCUCUGGUCGUUAAAUAACCAUUAAUAUUGUUUUAUCAUUCAGCUUAAUAAUUAAUUAUAACUGCUUUAUAUUUAUCCAGAGUUCUCUCGUCCUUAAUUAACCAUAAGAUUAUUUUAUCAUUCAGUUUAAAUAAUUAAUUAUAUAAUUAUUAUCCAGAACAUUCUGGUCCUUAGUAAAACUGCUUAAUUAUUUAAACCUUACUUUAUCCAAAACAUUCUGGUCCUUGAUAAAACAAUUGUUUAAAUAUCUAAAUAUUUUAUAAUCUUCUUUUAUCUAACAUUUACCAAGAAUUUUCUUGAGUACAUAAACUUGUUAAGUUUCAGGAUUAAAUUUAAAAAGGGUCACAAUUCAAACCCCCCCUUUCUUGUGACUAUUUCUUCCACUUCAAUGAUGAGAGGUUGUUUUGUGUUACCUAAAACCAAAUGGUUGACUCCGGUCCUUGAUGUGGACUUGAAGAGGCUUUAGGUUUAUUAUAAACAUUGUAUUGGGUGCGUGAUCUAUAGCUAGGUAUUGUGGAUUUUGGCCUUGAUUCCAAAAAUGUGGUGGAUAGUCUCUAUGGUAGAAAAAGUAACGUUACUAAUUAUAGUGCAGUUAUAAUUGAUUGUAGACGCAUGUUAGCUUGUGAUUUAGCAAUUGAUGAUGUUAGGUUUAAUCAGAGACAAGCCUACGAAGUCGCUGAUGUUAGUUUCUAUAUUCAUACUAAGAUUACAUCGUGUAUCUCAACUAUUAUGCAAUAAGUUUCUUUAUGUCUAAAAAUAAUAAUUCAUUUUCUACUCAUUGUCCAAGAGUAGCACCUCUUAAGCAACCAUACAUCAACACCACUUCAGCGCCACCGUCAAGGGCACCACCAAACAAUGACUCUACCAUAACUCUUACAUCCUCGCCGUAGUCAAAGUCAUUGAAUCCCACCCCCAUCGUCGAUCUAUGAUUUUCCCCUGGUUCCGUCCUGGCCUCGACCAAAACUACAAUCGCCACCAUAAAAGGUUCUAUCUUCACUCCCGUCAUCGGCACCACCUCCAAAACCACCUAAUUGCAUCUCUAUUUACGGAAUCAUUGACUUUGAGGACAAGGUCAAUUUUGAAGAGCAGAGUAGUGAUAACAUUAACCAAGAGGAAGAAAUUUCGGAUAACGUAUAACAAAUGAUGUUAAAGUGAAGGGAUUGCAUUACUAUCCAGGAACAAUAAGAUUAGCAGAUAAUAAUAGGAAGGUAGUUUUAUAUUUGUUUGUUAUGUUCUGAGUAAUAAUAGAUAAUUUAGUUGUAUAUCCUUAGAUAUUAAUAACUUCGUUUUUUUUUGUCAAAUUGUCUAGUGGUUAAAACUCACAUAUUUUUUAUUAAAAAAAAAAUAACUAACACAUUUUAAAUAUGGACAUAAGUAUUUCGUGAUUAUAUAUUACCGAAACUUCUCUGAAGGACAUAAAUCUAUAUUUCAUUUCUUGAUUGCUUUUCAGAGAAGUUUCGAUAAUAUAUAAUACAAUAACAAUAUUGACUUGGGUUCCAGUCUACUUUCUAUAAAAAAUAAAAAAUAAAAUGGGUUUAUGCCACGUUGUAUAAAAUAACAAUAAUAAAAUAAAUAUAAUAACCAUAUUAAUUAAUAAAAAACAAAGAUAAGAAAUGUGAUUAAGAAAGGAAGGAAGGAAAAAUCCAAAGUGUCUUCUAGGAGCAAAGGUGUCAUGACAUUAUUAUUAGUAUUUUUAUGGAACAAUAUUUAGGGUAGCAUGCCUCAUUCUAGUUAAGAAAAAAUUCAAGGUUCAAUAAAUGCUUGCAUAAAUUCUUACAUACUAUUCAUUAAUUAAAUAUAAGUUGUAUUCUUACUAAAUUGCUGACAUGACAUUAUUCUUUAACAAGCAUACAAAAGAUAUGACAUUAGAGAUAGUGACCCUUUAAGUAAAAAUAUGUACAUCCUCUAGUUAAUAUUAUAAACAAAAAUUAGCAUUUUAUAUUCAUUCAUUAAAUUAUAUAUGUGGUUAAUAAUAAAGACUAUAUACAUUAUUUAAUGAAUGAAUUUGUCAAUAUGCGUGGUCAGAUCAGAUGCAUAAAUGUGUAAGACGCUGGGUGAAUAAAAGAUCUGGAGUACAAAUCCGAACCACCAAAAAAAACUUACAUUGUGAAUUCAAUUUCCUAUAUUAAAACUUACGGUGUGAAUCUAAUUUCCUGUAUUAAAACUUAAGGUGUGAAUCUAAUUUUCUAUAUUAAACUAAAUAGCUGUUAGAUGAGGUCCAUUUCUUUUUAUUUGUUUCUUACCAAUCAAUUUCAGUAACCUUUAAACAAAUGUCAUAUUGUUGAAUCGUGAACUUUCUUCACACGUUCAAUGGCUGGUCCAAUUUAGAAAAUAUUAAUGAAUACAUGCUUUGAUAAAUUAUUUAUCAAAAACUGAUUUAUAUACUUUUUACACACAAGGAAUUGAGUUGGACAAACCCCUUCACUCCGACCUCAUCCCCCAAUCCCUCCCACCGCCAAUUUCAAGUGUGUUUAGCUGAGAAAAAGUUAUGUAAUGUUUUGAAAAAGUUAUAAAGUAUUAUGUUUAAGUUAAAUUGAGUGAAUUUUAAAUGAUAUUUAAGAUCUAAGAAUUUCAAAUUAUUUCCUAUUAGAUAUAUCUUUCAAAAUUUCCAAGUUGGUCCCCAUAUUUUUCAAAAAAAAUAAAUUAACCCUUAAAUAUUUAAAAUAAAUUGCAAAUUGAUCCUUACAAUUUCUUGAAAAUUAUAAACCGCUUUCAAUUUUUGAAUUCUACAAAUCAGCCCUCAAUUUUUCAAUUUUUCAAUUUGGCCCAAAAUUUUAUAAAAUAUAAAAGUAAGUAGCACAAAAAUAUAACUGAAGUAUUUUAUCACUGUAUCCAAACAAAAAUAUUAAAAAAUAAAGGGAUCUAGCGUCGAUCAUCUCACAAGGUGUUGGGAUGAUUUAUACCGCCGCUAUGAAAAUUAGAACUUUAAGUGCUUGUUUGGUGUAACACUCCUAUUUCUAUUAAAGCAAUUAAACAUGCAAAUAAUACAUUUAUUCAAGAAAUAGAGGCUACGCCACAUUCAAAAUUCAAAAACCAAUAAACAUGUAUAUAAACCUCAACAGUUGCAGCGGAAUAUAAAUCAGAGUAAUCCAAAUGUAUACAUGUCAUGAAUAAUAAAUUACAUCACAUAGAUGCAUCUCAAAAAUCCCAAACAAAACGGAUAAUCUCCAACAUAACAAAAUCCAAAAAUAACCUAAUCUAGACCGACACAACAAGCCUAGAUCAGAGCCAACUCAACACCGAUAUCGGAGAAAGCUCCCGAUAUCCCAAGCACAAACUCACCAAGCACUACUCCUGCACAACGUCUACCCAUCCAUACAGAUAGGUAGGCGGUUAAAACCACUAGGGUAAGUAUUACAUUAUCAUAAUCCAAAUAACAGAUAACAUGAGUAUUUCAAUAUAAACAUCAUGCAUUUGAUCAAUAGUAAUCACACAUUAAUACUUACAUCACAUCCCAAUAUCUCACAUCAAUAAUCAUCAAUCACAUAAACAGUUAACAAUUCACAAAUAUUCAUUCACAAUCUCCAAACACAAAUAUUCAUGAAUAGUCAUUAAUCACAUUUCACGAACAAUCACCAAUCACAUUUAUCAAACAAGACUCAUGUCAUGAUAUGCACUUAUUGACACAUAAAUGCAUGUGGUACCAAAUCUCCAAAAGGUCGUCACCUCCGAUGGAACAACUCAACAUCGUAUGUAAGGGUUCACACCCGCCUUACAUAAUCUCCGAAGUAAAAGAGCACAACCUUUUUACAACUACACGACUAUGAUGCAUGGACAUGUAAAAAAACUAGAUAAUGCGACAACAAUCACAAUUUUCUCCACAAUAUAUAGGAAAACACCCAAUUAUAUUGUUCAUCUCCACAUCAUUUGCAUUAUCAAGAAAACAUGCCCAUUCAUAAUUAAAUCAUAGUAUUCAUCAUUACACAUCAACGUGAUUAUCAAUAAUCAACGAUGUCAUUCAAUCAUCAACUAUCACAUAUAGUUUCACAAAUUCAAACAUUCCUUACAUCUUAAGUAAGAUAGCAUACACUUCUCAUGAUAAUUAUCAUAUCCAAAAUACAAUCAUUCAUUCAUACAACUUCACUUAGUCAUAUAAGAAUGAUCACAACAAUUCAUAAGACAAUACGACUUAAAGAUUCACUAGACCCCCUUUUCACAAGGUUAAUUCUUCCAUAAAAACACCCCUAGAUGAUUAGGAUAAAGUCCCUAUACAUAGAAAUAAGUUUGGAAACAAUUGGAUCAAAGAAAAUUGCAUUUUAAAAGUUUCUGGUCAGGCAAAAUCGUAGUCCGAAUUUUCCCCAUCGUAGUACGAUUUUUUUCGAGCUGAAACAACCCAAAAUCUGGUCAAAAUCGUAGCCCGAUGGAUAAAAUUGUAGUCCGAUUUCUGCCUGACAGACAACAUCAGAUUUUCCAAUUUUCACGUUUUCGCGCGUAAAAACCAAACCGUUAAUCCGUUUUCGGUGCCGUUUUCACCUACUUGUUCAUGACACUUAGCCCUAUCUUAAUGUACAGAAAAAUUCAAGUUUCAACAUUCCCAAAUUCAUUUUUCAAAGCCUUACACAACACUCAUUUUCCAAAACGGUUAACAAUUGAAUUUUCACCCGAAUCUCCCGUUUUCUCCCAAAACGACUCGACUAUCACAACUACAACCUAAAAACAGAAAUUCCAUCAAGUUUAACUCAUCCAACCACAUAGACAACUCAGUCAACAACUUUGUAUAUCAAAUUUCACUUUGGUCCUUCACAUGACCAUCUAGCACAACUUCACCAAUACAAACAACUUACUUCAUGAAAUGGAAUACCCAUGUUAUCAUUCAACAACAUCAACAUAUCUACUUUAACAACACCUCAUUUAGACAUGAAUUCAAUCAUAAUUCAAUUACACAAUAUCCCAAUCCAACAAUUGAGCAAAACACAUAAGUAUCCAUUUUCACCAAACCAACAACAACAACUUAUUUCACAACAACAAACUAUGAAUCAUGCAUACCCAAGCCAUGAAUUAGCAUCCAUAACAUCACUUAACAACAACAACAUCUAUUGAUCAUGAAACAUAUCACAAUUCAUCAACAACCAUCCAUAAUUCACCAUUUGAGCAUAAUUUACAAACUACCCAUUUUCAUACAUCAUGAACUUGCAAUUUCAUAAUCAACAAUUCAUUUAACAUCAAAUUAACACAUUCAAACAUAUCUCUACAACAUAAGCAAGAAUUUCAAAGAUUGGGUUCAUGAUAAUCACUUAUUCCCAUAAUCAAUUAUGCAUAGAACAAGAGAAAAAGAAUUAACUAAAUGAUUAUGAUAAAGACUAACCCCCUUACCUUAGAUGAAGAUUAACCCAAACUCUUGCUUCAAUUCAGCUCCUAAGCUUACCCAAAUUGAUUCCUCAAGCUAUUCUCUUCAAAACCCUUGUUCUUCUCUUCACCUCUUUCUCUCUCUACCUCUCUCUCUAGGAAAAUUUUAUGAAGUGAAUGAAAGAUAUUUUUUUUCUAUGACAACCCUAAUGUUAUCUCCCUUAAUGGGCUUAACUUAGUUUCUAGUGGGCUUAACCCAUUUCUAUUCAAACCACAAAUAUUUCUCUUUAACUAAUAACGGUAAAAUAUAACCAACGGUCACUAAACGGUAAAAACUAAUCACUACACUAGUAACUUAGUAAAAUAAGGGUUCUCACUAAAUAUUAAAGAUAAUUCUUACCAAAAUUUCCAUUUUACCCUUACCCGCCAAAUGACCAAAUACCCUUCUAAUACGGUAAUCUAUGUAAAUGCACCCAAUGACAAUUAAAUACACACAAGCACAAAUAAUCACAAACAAACACAUAAUAAAAGUAAUUAAAAUAAAUCUAGCUAAAAAUCGGGCUGUUACAUUUGGCACCACGUUUUUGGGCUCCAAACGUGGUUUAUUUUUGCCAAACGUGGUGUUGCACUUUUACAUGCUGUUUGGAUGACGAAAAAGCAAGUUUCUGAAAAGCGGUUUAUGUCUCCAAAACGCAAUUUUCUUGAAGCUGGAAUUCGGAGCUUCUACGGCAGAUAAAAACCACGUUUAAGCCUUUAAUUUCUCAAGUGGCAGGUACUUACCUAAUUACCCCUAAAUUCAAGCCUUCAAUUUCUCUUUCUCAUAGUUUUCUUCCUUUUCAUUACUUCACAUCACUUUCAAACUUAAAUUUUCUGCUAAUUGUGAAGAUUUUGCAUAUCCAAGAUUUCAAUUAUCUUCAGCUUUUCCCCAAUUUUUUCAGAUUUCAUGGUUAAUCUCAUUACUCAUGGUAGAUGUGUUGUUUGGGUGAAUUUAUUCCUUCAGCUUUUCCCCUAUAUAUGAUGCUUAUGAGCUACUUGUGAGAACCAUUCCAUUGCUCUGCCAAGGCCUGAAGGUAAAUACAUAUUCAUAUUUUUUUUGCUUUGAUUACUUGCUUCAAUAUUGUUAAUUUCUAUUUCUCUUUGCUCUAUUUGUUACAAGUUUUACAUUAAUUUUUCCAUCCUACAUCAAUGCAUUGUAUGUGUUUGAUAAAUAGUCUCAAAGAAAAAAAAAAUUCUUAUAUUGAUAUGUUUAUGUUGAUGAAUUUUCUUGACCUGUAGAAGUGAUUGUUUUGUUAUUAUUGAUGUUUAUCUUUAUUUUUAUUUUUUUUUAUUUUUUUGUGUUUUUAGCAAGGAGUCUAUUGUUUUUGUUUAAGGUACUUGGUGUGUUCAAAGUAAUUGAAUGAACUAACGUAAGAAAAGAAACUUAUAGCUUCAAGCCAUUGUUGUAAUUCUAAUUUUUGUGCCUUUACAAAAAAUUCCAAAGUAACAGAAUUUCUUCUAACACAAAGUAACAGAACUCACUCUUAGCACAAAGUAACAGAACUUCUUCUUGUAUUGUUUUUGUUUUCUGUUAUCAUUUUCAUUUGCACAAAACAAGGAUAUUGGUGUUAGUUUGAUCAAGUUGCUUAUGUAUAGUUUGUUUCAUUUUUUUUUUUGGGUUAAUAUGUCUUUACCCCCUGUAAUUUGGGCGAGUUUCGGUUUACCUCCUGUAAAAAUAAAAGUUUAGAUUCCAACCCUUUAAUAUGAAGAUUCUUCAAAAAACACCCCUAUAAUAUUAAGAUUCUCCACAAAACACCCCUGACCCCAUCCAGACGCUGAUGUGGCACGCCAUUGUGUAAUUAUUUUAAUUUUUUUUAAAACCUGACACAUGUGUAAUGGACGCUGACUGUAUAAUUUUUUUUAUUUUUUUUUAUUUUUUUAAAGGGUACACGUGGCAUUUGUGAUUUUAAAAAAAAAUAAAAAACGAAAACAAUUAUGGAAAAAUUAAUAAAAAUAAAAAAUAUUCUGAAAAAUAAAAAAAAAUAGCGAAAAAAUUAAUUAAAAUAAAAAAUAUGAUUAAACAAAUUCCGGAAAAUUUAAUAAAAUAAAAAAUAAUCUGAAAAUUUUAAUAAAAAUGAAAAAGAAUCUGGUAAAAUGAAAAAUAAUGAAAAAAAUUUGGAAAAAUUUUAAAAAGUUCUAGAAAAUUUUAAAAAAUAAUAAAAAAAUCUGGAAAAAGUUAAAAAUAUGAGAAAAAAAAUUUAUAUUUCUGGAAAAUUCAGGACCUUAAAAUAUUUCAAAAUUCUUGAAUAUAAUAAGAAAAUAUAUUUUAUUUUUAAAAAAAAAAGGUUCAGAUUUUUCUUUCGAAAUUAAUUUUUUUUUUAUUUUUUUAUACAAAAAAUAAAAAUAUUGGAAAAUAUUUCAAUAAUUAGAAAAACAUAACAUUAGAACAUGAAGAAUAGAAUUAAGGGCUUGUUUUUCAAUAGUAUAACAUGACUUAUAUACCGGUGUCAAUCAAAAUUCAUUGUAUCUUGUUAUUCAUCUAGAUUAUAUUUUCGAAUAAAAUAAAAUUCUAGAAAUAAAUUUUCAUAAUCAAAAUAACUAUAUAAUAUUAUAUUUUUCGAUUUUUUUAUAAUUUAAAUUUAAUUCAGAUUUUUUUUUAUAUUUUUUGAAAAUUUUGAUAUAUAUAAAUUUUUUCCAGAAUUUUUUAUUUUUUUUGAACUUUUUCCAGAUUGUUUUGUUUAUUGUCGUGAUUUUUUUCUUAAAUUUUCUAGAUUUUUUAAUUUUUUCAGAUUUUUUUUAUUAAAUUUUCUAUAUUUUUUCAUAAUUGUUUUUUCAUUUUAAUAAUGUUUCUAGAAUUUAUUAUUUUAUUUUUAUUUUAAAAAAAUAUAUACAAAUGCCACGUGUACCCUUUAAAAAUAAUAAUAAUACAGUCGUCACGCUACAUAAUCAGAUAUGCACAGUCAGCAUGCCAUUUCAGCUCGCCACGUCAGCAAUUCUGUACAGUCACAUAGGUCAGGGGCUAAAGUCAAAUAAUCUUAUUUUACAGGGUUGGAAUCUAAUCUUUUUUUUUACAGGGGGUAAACCGAAACUCGCCUAAAUUACAGGGGGUAAAUACAUAUUAACCUUUUUUUUUUUUUUUAUCAUACUUUUGUGUAUAUAGUAAUAUGGACUCACUUAAGAGAAAAGUUUCUGCUAACCCCCCUUCAACUAACAAUGAGGGUCAAAGUUUCAAAGCUAGUUUAAAUAUUAGUUUGCAAUAAUUUUCAAUAUUAUAUUGCACUUGAACUUAUAUUAUCUAUUAUCUAUAUGUAAUAUACUUUAGAGCCUUGCCAUUUUUUAUACAUAUUUAGAAAUCUAUGAUUAUGUAUUAAUAAUUUACGUAUAUUUUAGUUUACAAUUGUGUAAUUUCUCAUUUGUUUUACAUCUUUUUAUGCUUAUAUUAUUUUAUUAAAAAUCACCCAAUUGAUAAAAAAAAAUAAUAUUAAAAAUAACAUAAAUUUAUAUUAUUUUAAAAUUAAUUUUAGAACCAAUAGAAUUCAUGUAUGAUAAGUUGAAAUAAUUUUUUUUUAUGAGAAUGAGUUUUAAAUACAAUUAAAAUGAUAGUUUAGUCAUUAUACAUUCAAAAUCAAUUUUGAUUCAAACUAUCCAAACAACAUCAACCCGCAAGAAUCACUUUUAGUAUCCAAACAUAAAUCAAUUCACAUUCAACUCACUUUUAACCAAAAUCAAUUCUCUCAAACUCAAUUCUAUCAAAAUCAAUUCUCCUCGCCGCCAUACCAAACACACACUAAGAUUAAGAAGGAAAAGAUGAAGGGAACUGGCUACAAAUGGUAUUAUUAAUGUGGCUUGGUGGAACUCUUUACCCUUCUUUACUAGGGAUGACUUUUAUAAAGACCACUAUGGAUUUUUAAAUUAUCGUUCUCCAUAUCUCUUUGUAUUUUAAUUUUGUUUUUUGUUUUGGUUUGGUCCUCCUCUAGUACGGUUUUUCAUUUUUUUAAUAAUUUUUUUUUAGAUCAAGCUGGCAUAGGAUGGGGUGGUUUUGGAGUGUGAACAUAGUUGGAAUGUCAAACCUUCUUUUGAUGUCUUCUUUUGCUCAUGAUUUAGAAGGAAAAAAAAAAUUUAAUUACAAUAUAUUUCUCUAAAUUGAUUGAUUUCUUUCCUAAAGACACAACAGAAUUAAUCAACUAUAAUUGAUUUAUUUUUUUUACUUGGAUGAAAGUGAUUCAUAUGCCAAACAGAGCCUAAGUAAUUAAAAUAACAAAUUAGUUUAAAAAGGUAACUACCUGGAAUACGCAUUAGAAUGAAUCAGUAUUAGAGAGAUUAGAAACACCAGUAUUGAUUUGUGAGAAAACCAAGAUCUUUGAUCUGUAUCAUUUAAAAAGGAAAGACCAUCAACAGAACCAUUAUCAUUCUUCUUGUCUUUCUUCUUUUUUGACACAAAAUCAUGAAACUUGAGUAGCUAUACUGCAAUAGGGAGAAAAAGGAAGAAGAAAGACGAUUCAUUUAGUGAUGAAGCAGAAGAAGUUUGAAGAAAGUGGUAUUGCUAGCUUCAAUGACAUUGCUGAGGAAAAUAAAUAGAGAUCUAUACACAAAAUUAUGAAAGACAAGAAGAUUCAUACCAAUUGAACAGCAAGGAUGUUUCUGGUCAUCUUCAUUUUCAAUGUUGGAGCUUAUGACUUCACCUCCAAUUGAUGUAGGUUGUAACUCAUCAUUAUAAUUUCCCUGGCCAUCUUCACUUUCAUUGUUAGACCAAUCAGACCCCACACCAAUUUCCCAACCAUCCAGAUUCGACUUAUGUUCUAAGUUAUAUACAGGUAAGACCCCACACCCCUUUAUCCCCUCUGUUGACCACCACAAUUCUUCAUUGAAAUCUUGAUGCAUGAAUUGAAAUGAUAGGUUGCAAUCAUUACUUCCAUGUUUCCGUCUGUUGUAAGGAUGCCAACAUAUCAAUACGUGAUCUGAAAUUAAUGUCCCAUUAUAUUCGUAAACAACAAGAAUACACUUGUCGACUUCUUUGCCGUGUUCAAAGAUGACACAAUGCAGGGGGUGAUUGAGAUCAUGGAAGCCCUUAGAAAGAAUGGUGCAGAAUACGAAACCAGACAGGUUAUAUUUUGGAAUCGGAGGAAUGGUUAUUGAAGCCUUCAUUGUUUGAAAAUCAAACUUGCGAGGAACUUGUGCUCCUGGCAAGAAAUAGACAUCAUAAUAGGAACGGUUAUUGACAUCUUUAUUUGCAUGAAAAGGGUCUUUAGAGAAGAUUUGUACUAUGUUCUCAAGAAAUGACCGUUGAGUGGAGUCUGUGUCCAGAUAAGUGCAAUUAAUGGCACUCAAACAUAAUAGGGAUGGCGGAAGCUCUGUUAGAGACACAAGUUUCCUGCAAUCAUCUAAAACUAGCCAUUUUAGCAUUGAAUGGUUUCGUAUGUUCUCAGGGACACAUUCCAAGUUGCAACAAUCUUGCAAUGAGAGCCGUUUCAAAGAUUGUAUGCCAUCAAGGAUGGACCACAGACUUAAUGCAUUGAUUUCUGUGCACCGUGAAAGGUUUAGUUCUAUAACAGACCCAAGUCCAUGAUCAUCUGAUAACUUAUUCCCAACAAUGUUAAGCUUGUUACACUCGGUUAGGGAAAGAGAAGUAAGUUUUCUGUUACGCCAAAUCGAUGAAGACAAUUCACGUAUAGCAGUGCCAUCUAAGGUCAACUCUGUCAUUUCAUCCGAUGUCACUGAGAAUUCUGUGAGAGAAGAACAACCAUCGAGUAAGAGUUCACAAAGAGAUUUUGAAUGAAUGUUGGUUUUAAGGCUUUCAAUCUUUUUGCAACCUCGUAAAUCUAGAUAUCUA